GCUGAACUACAUCUUGAAAGCUCAUAAGGCUGGCCACUGCUGGGAUGGGGAAUGGAAUAUACUUGACAUUCGGGUUCGUGGGGAUGGUGCAACAUUAAUCAUUGACAAGAUGCCAGUAAAUGCAACUAAAGAUGGAAUUGUUGCUGACCUUCAGAAGUUUAUAGUCCUCUUGCGCCCGUAUUACAAGAUUGAAGGCAUCAAGGGUCCAGCCUAUUUUGACGAAUUUCAUUCUGAUGUGAUGUCUCUCCCUGAGCUUGAGUCUGAAAAAUUUGAGAUUUUCCAGAAGUUUCUUGCUGACCAUAUGGUUUUUCUGCCACCAACGUCCACGUCAAAUUUGCUCGAAAGGCUCUUCAAAUUGUGUGACGACAUCCGUAGACAGAAUGCAGAUUUUGAUUAUCGUCCCCUUCAGCGCUUAGAUUGCAUUGGGUGGACAAAAAUACGUGAUACCAUGCCAUAUAGCAAGAUGUUCCACUAUGACCAAAGCCUUUCAGACCCAUACAAAGAUCAUUACUGGGAUCUCCUCAGAUUUGUGAGGAAUUUCAGUAAUCGUGGCUUGAAGUACACACAGGUAUAUAGUUUUUGUAUUCUAUCUGUUACACAUGUAUUGUAUAAACAUGAAUUGUAUCUGUUCCUAUCCCAAACACAAGAAUUGUAUCUGUUCCUAUCCGCAUAGUUUCUGUACUGUUCCUAUCCCGUACAUGUUGUAUCUGUUCUACUCUUCUAGUUCAAACAUGAAUAUAUAGUUUCUACAUAAAAACUAACUCCAUAUUAUUUUCGGAUGAAGAUCGAUGGAGUCCAAUCAAUCGAAGAUCCUGUUAUACUAGAUAUUAUGGUUGCAUAUGACCUUGGCAGAUUUAUUACAAAGCUGGUUCUGCAUGUGUUAUAUGUGUUUGAAAAACCAAAAAGGUGUGUCUAUUAAUAUCUCCAUCUGUCUUUAUCUGUACAUUUUGUUACAACUUUAAAAUAUGUUCUAACAUAAAUCUUUUUUCUUCUUAGGCUUGUCAGCACCUGGAAUGCAUACAAAACAUCCGAGUGAGUUUUGUAUUUGAGUUUUAUUUUGUUGGGGUUAGAAAAGGGAUUUAACCUUUGCCACUCUUAAGAAUGGCAGAGAGAGAAAUUGCAAUCCCUGAAGUGGGUGGCCUUUAGGAUGUGUCGUUCUGUGGGAAAAACUUAAUUCCCUGUUCUGUUUGUUCUGUUUGGAAAGACUCCAUACAGUCUGAGUUUAUUUUAUGGUUAUGGAUGCAGGGAUGCAACUGAGGAAAUCGAUGAAGAUGGGACUGAGGAAAAUGAAGGGAUUUGAGGGAUCGACGGGUAACAGAUUUAAUAAACAUUAUAGGUCAUUGUUUCCUUGUAAACUGAAGGGCUUGUCAUGAUGUAUGUUCAGCUUAUCGCUCUCUAAAUGUCAACAUUCUUCCUUGUUGCAAUUGCUUCCUGUUCCCGGAGCUCCUGAGAUGCCCCCACUCCAUCCCACUCGUCAAAGCUUUUGAGAUGGAACUAACAUCCACCCCACCCGUCAAGCUUUUGAGAUGGAACUAACACCCACCCCACCCGUCAAGCCAUCCCUGAGAAUUGUCCCUAUAAUUUUGCUGCAUGACUUCAAAUGUGAUUGAACACACAAAGAGGCCAUCUUUAGUUACUUCGGUCUUUUGUUUGAGGUGGAACUAAGAUCCCUGAGAAUCUUCAGUUACUUCUGUCUUUUGAGAUGGAAUGUUUUAGUCAAAAUUAGCUUUUGAAAAUUAUUCUAAACCUGAGGUUAGGAAUUUUGGAUGUCUUAAUGCCUCAUCUCUCAAGCGAUUGUUCGCUUUUGUUCACCGCUCAAUGAACAUCCUCGUGGUCAUAUGGAUAUGCUAACCUGGUCAGCCUUGCCUGUUUGUUUUUGUACCUGUACUUCGGUUGUUUGUAAAUUGGACGUACUCCUAAAAUACUUUACCAUCCGUCGUGUACUAAGCACAGCUGUUCACCAUCUGCCGGAUCUCUCCACGAGCAGUCGUCGGGCUCCGACGCUGGUAUUACACCUCUUGUAGUUGUUUCUCUCGUCCAUGCACCUUCUUAGCAAAUACAGGAACGGAACAGGGACCCAAUCCAAUAGCUAAGAGGCCAGCAAAAUUCACGGAUCACAUUUCACGUCCGUACCAAAUGUACAUCUCAGGUAGGACCCCGCGAUGUCGGGGUGAAACGUCAACAGAAAAAACGUGGAGUCAAUUCCAUGCGAGUCGAGUCAUUACGCUCAUCGUCCCCUUCAGCGCUUAGAUUGCAUUGGGUGGACAAAAAUACGUGAUACCAUGCCAUAUAGCAAGGUGUUCCACUAUGACCAAAGUCUUUCAGACCCAUACAAAGAUCAUUACUGGGAUCUCCUCAGAUUUGUGAGGAAUUUCAGUAAUCGUGGCUUGAAGUAUACACGGGUGUAUAGUUUCUGUAUUAUAUCUGUUACCCAUGUAUUGUAUAAACAUGAAUUGUAUCUGUUCCUAUCCCAAACACAAGAAUCGUAUCUGUUCCUAUCCGCAUAGUUUCUGUACUGUUCCUAUCCCGUACAUGUUGUAUCUGUUUUACUCUUCUAGUUCAAACAUGAAUAUAUAGCUUCUACAUAAAAACUAACUCCAUAUUAUUUUCGGAUGAAGAUCGAUGGAGUUCAAUCAAUCGAAGAUCCUGUUAUACUAGAUAUUAUGGUUGCAUAUGACCUUGGCAGAUUUAUUACAAAGCUGGUUCUGCAUGUGUUAUAUGUGUUUGAAAAACCAAAAAGGUGUGUCUAUUAAUAUCUCCGUCAGUCUUUAUCUGUACAUUUUGUUACAACUUUGGAAUAUAUUCUAACAUAAAUCUUUUUUCUUCUUAGGCUUGUCAGCACCUGGAAUGCAUACAAAACAUCUGAGUGAGUUUUGUAUUUGAGUUUUCUUUUGUUGGGGUUAGAAAAGGGAUUUAACCUUUGCCACUCUUAAGAAUGGCACAUUCCUGAGAAAGAAAUUGCAAUCCCUGAAGUGGGUGGCAUUCAGGAUGUGUCGUUCUGUGGGAAAAACUUAAUUCCCUAUUCUGUUUGUUCUGUUUGGGAAGACUUCAUACAGUCUGAGUUUAUUUUAUGGUUAUGGAUGCAGUGAUGCAACUGAGGAAAUCGAUGAAGAUGGGACCGAGGAAAAUGAAGGAAUUUGAGGGAUCUACGGGUAACAGAUUUAAUAAACAUUACAGGUCAUUAUUUCCUUGUAAACUGAAGGGCUCGUCAUGAUGUAUGUUCAGCUUAUCGCUCUCUAAAUGUCAACAUUCUUCCUUGUUGCAGUUGCUUCCUGUUCCCGGAGCUCCUGAGAUGCCCCCACCCCAUCCCACUCGUCAAAGCUUUUGAGAUGGAACUAACAUCCACCCCACCCAUCAAGCUUUUGAGAUGGAACUAACACCCACCCCACCCGUCAAGUCAUCCUCGAGAAUUGUCCCUAUAAUUUUGCUGCAUGACUUCAAAUGUGAUUGAACACACAAAGAGGCCAUCUUUAGUUACUUCGGUCUUUUGAGGUGGAACUAAGUCCCUGAGAAUCUUCAGUUACUUCUGUCUUUUGAGAUGGAAUGUUUUAGUCAAAAUUAGCUUUUGAAAAUUAUUCUAAACCUGAGGUUAGGAAUUUUGGAUGUCUUAAUGCCUCAUCUCUCAAGCGAUUGUUUGCUUUUGUUCACCACUCAAUGAACAUCCUCAUGGUCAUAUGGAUAUGCUAACCUGGUCAGCCUUGCCUGUUUGUUUUUGUACCUGUACUUCGGUUGUUUGUAAAUUGGACGUACUCCUAAAAUACUUUACCAUCCGUCGUGUACUAAGCACAGCCGUUCACCAUCCGCCGGAUCUCUCCACGAGCAGCCGUCAGGCUCCGACACUGGUAUUACACCUCUUGUAGUUGUUUCUCUCGUCCAUGCACCUUCUUAGCAAAUACAGGAACGGAACAGGACCCAAUCUAAUAGCUAAGAGGCCAGCAAAAUUCACGGAUCACAUUUCACGUCCGUGCCAAAUGUACAUCUCAGGUAGGACCCCGCGAUGUCGGGGCGAAACGUCAACAGAAAAAACGUGGAGUCAAUUCCAUGCGAGUCGAGUCAUUACGCUCAUCAUCCCUGUCGGCAGGAUGUGUCAAUGCCACCAUCUUCAUUAUCUCUCACCAGGCUCAUCUGCCGUCAAUCUUACCCUACGCUGCAGUAGUGUCUGGUGAAGAGCCUUUUGGCGCAUCAGGUGUCAACAGCAGCCUAUCCAAGUGUGUUUCAGGUCUGAUCAGCUCUUUCCUUCAGGCAAGCAAAACGAGCUAUGCAUCUUGCAUGUAAAACAACCAGUUGCUUGCAAUGGAUGCUGGAUUGACAGAGAAGCAGCAUCUUAUCUGAUAGAGAAGAAAGAAACAACUGUACACAUCUCUUGACAAAGGCAAAAGUGGAAAAUGCCCUACAUCACCCCACCGAGCAGGGGGGGAAGAACAUGAAGGUCUUUGCUUUACCCGUAGAAAACAACACCGCCAAAAAAAACCCAAAAAGAUCAGGAGGGAAGCAAGGCAGAAGGAGAUGUACAUAUCCACUGAUCGACUCAACCCUACUCUAGAUCCUAGCACUGGUACAGUGAGAAGCCUCUGUUCUUCCACAGAGAGCUCAAUGUCCGCCCCAGCUUCCGGGACUUGGACUUGCACAGCGGCUUUGACUCCCGGUGGCACACGAUGGCACCACCACCGUUUCCCGCCUCCGUCAGCUGGCUCUGCUGCUGCUGAUGUUGUGGCUGCUGGGGUGGCGGCGCAUCUCGCUGCCUCUGCUCCCUGAAUAGCUUCAGGAGCUUCUGGGCCUUCUCCCUACCCCUCCCAGUCCCAGCCGCCGAGAUGGAGACCAGGGAUGGGACCACCCCUUCCUGGAGCACCGGGGCGAUGCACUUGUCGUCGGCAGUGCACAUCACCAGGAGGCAUGACACAGCCUGCUCCUGCUCCGUCAGCUCGCCCGUGUCGAGCAGCGUCGCUAAUGUGCUGACCAAACCCGGUGUGGACAUGAUCUCCUUCCUGCCGGCCUGGGUGGCUGCAAGGCUGAUGAGCACCGCAAGGGCCUUCUCUGUCCAACCGAGGCCCUCCGAAGCUGGAGACUCGGUGAGAAGACAGUGGAGAGCAUCCACGAUACCUGCGGUAAGGAGCGCCGGGACGCUGGCCUGGUGGUUCGAGAGGUUGUACAACGUGUACAGGGCGUCAUGCUUACAGGAACUGCUUUUAGUGUCGCCGGCCUCUUGGCUGUACAGACAGUCGACUAGGAAUGACACAGCCUGGCUUGAACCGAUGACGGCCUUCGCAUCAGGUAGGCAGGAAAGGUUAAGGUACAGUGCUGUGGAUGGACCAGAUAGGCGAGGAUUUGAUAUCAUCUGCUCGAGUAGAUCAACAACUCCAGCAGAUAACAGAAGUCCUUUGUUUCUGAAAUAAGAAUGGGUAUUGAUAAGUAAAAAUGUUAGGAAAAAAACACUUACACUAAUUUUGAGUUAGCAUACACCCUAGAUAUCUCCAACUAGCGACAAUAGGCAAGCAGCAGAUGACUAGGCAAUAAUACCUGUUAUUGUUGACUGCGAGGUUGAAAAGAGCCAUGGCGCCAACUUCCUGCGCCUUCUCAUUUCCAUCAUUCACGGCAUUCCUCAAGAACUCAACUAGCGCCUCAGCAAACCCGUUUGAGCCUAGCUGGAUCCUUGCUUCCUCAUCAUCUUUCAAAAGAUACCUUAUCUGCUCCACCAACCUACACUGCUUGUUCAUGUUGCUUCUUUCAUGAAGCAAGAGCAGCAAGUUCCCAUAGCCCUCAUUUAAAUCGAAAUCGUUACAAGAGCUGUCAUCCAGCGUUCCUGAUUCGCUGUUUGCCGGCUCCUCCUGUCUCAUACUCUCCAUCGGGACAACCUUGACACUCUUCACAUUGGUAGAAUCAAAACUUUCAACAGGCACGCAACCUGUAGCCUCAGUGUCUGAGUAAGCAAGUCUCCAAUUUACAUCAAAAGAUCCCGGUGGACCAUCAGGAACUGGAAAAUCAUUCUGCUCACACCAGCUGGCGAUCAGGGCUUUGACACAGUAGUUUGGAGUCAAUGACAGGUGGGCAAGUUGCUGCUGAGUUUUUGGACAUGUGCUGUGACCAUCAUUGAACCAUUUCUCAAUGCAAACACGCUCAUAAGUCUGCCCAGAUGAAAUGAUGACUGGGUCAUACAUGAGCUGUAAGGAAAUAGGGCACCUAAGUUCUUCAGGAGGGAUCGACAUAUUUUCAGACCUUGGACCGCCGCCACGUCUGCAGUUGAAUGAUCCGAGCCGAGAAUUGAAAGAUCCAAACCUUGAAUUGAACGAUUGAACGCUCAAAAGCUGUCUACUGAAUGCUCGGCCAUUGCCGUAGGGCCCGUACAUGUCAUCCAUGCCUAAUACUGUAGGCGAGCAGGGAGACGAUCCUUGAGAUUCUGUAUCGUCACCAGCCUCACUUCUGAAGAAUUUUGAGUAUUUCCUCAUGAGAUUGUACAAGUAUGACACAACAAGCUCUUUCCGCUUGUCUUCAUCAGAACGAGCCUUCUCAAUUAGCUUCUUGAGGGCUCUUCUCUCAGUGAGUGCUGCCCUAGAAGAUGUAAUUCCCAAUUUUAGAGCAGCCAUAUGGAAGACAUCCAGCUCCCCACUGUCACUGGAACCAUUUGUUUUAUUAUUUCUCUGCAGCAAAUUGAUCACAUCAUCGCCAGCUUCCUUCUCUGACCGAUCCAAUGUAAAGACAAUCUCCUCUAACUCGCUAACAAUCUCUGUAAUCUGUACAUAAACAAGUUCAGGGUGUCAGUAAGUACUGCGCAUUCAAAUAUAUUGCAAAUUCAUAAAGCAACAAAGGCAAAAGGUAAGAGAACAGUGAUCCAAAGAUAUUGACUAGAUGAGUUUCUUUGGACAAUAUACCUUACAGCUGAUAUCUUCCGUUACUAUGCUUUCAACGCGCCUUAGACUUUCCUGAAGCUGGCUUCUAGAUUUCUCAAACUUCAAAAGCACAGUUUCCGAAGUGAUGGCCUAGAAGUAAAAUAAAAUCACUGUUAUGAAAACUGUUCCAAUCACACAGAUCUCCAAUAGAAAUUGUGGUUCUAUCCAGUGCGUUGUAGUAUCUCAGAGAGAAACAAGAAGUUACCAAGUAGAGCCUGCUGCUAUCUGCACAAUGUUGAAGAAGCCCUUUGGCUUUAUCUAGAGCUACAUGUAGUGAACACAAUGCCUGUAUACCAGACUUGCUUCUGGGUCUUGAUGCUUCGAUGAAAGGGAAAAUGAUGGAAAGCUUAGAUACCGCCGGAUGAAAUGCUCUACAAAUUCCUGCAUGCAACUGCAUAAACAAAAAAAAAAAUCAGAUUUUGUAGUGAAAUUAAGCAAAUCCCAAAGCGAGAAGGUAUAGGUUACAUUAACUUAUUGUAAGUAUAUUACUUGCUCCAUACAGUACAAAGGCCCCUGCUAAGCAGUAGAUUUUUUUAAGAAAAAAGAACCUUAUAGAAAUCAAAGCAUUGCAAUAGUACUAACCAUUGAAAAAAAAAAGUAAUCCUCAUUGAUCAACAAACAUAGGAGGCUUUUAGGAUGUACUUACAAAAGGCAGACAAACAACAGAUCAACAGGAAUACCAUAUGAAUUCACUGUAAAGAUGAUACCUUGGCAUCAUUAGCCAGAAAAGGACCUUCUUCAGCCUCCAUCACGUCCAUUAUUAACUUCUACCUGAGCUCCAACAUCUGAUUACAGGACUCACAACAAAAAGGGAUAACAUUAGCAUUUCGCUCUAAACAUUCUCAAAAGAUAAAAUUAGAUAGGCUUUUCCUAAGGACAAAAGGAAAUAACAGGUUUGGACAUUGGAGAAUGGGACAAAGAAAACAUCCAGCCAUUUCUAGUAGGAAUGGAAGAGAUAGGAAUGGCUGAAAUCUACUGGCAAGCCCACAACACACUGUUGUCCAAAAAUCAACUUUGGUUUUCAGAAACAACCCACUGAAAAGGACGUUUCCUCUACAAAAUUUGUGAUUUCCAGCUCCUGGAGCCCAAGACAAUUUUUUAUCAACCAAAUUCACCUGUUUUGAACAAAUCUAAGGCUCCAAUGUAACCAGCGUGCUGCAUUUGACUCUUAUCAUGCCAAAAAAUAAAAGAGGAAGGAAAGAAAAAACAGGUGUCGGCAGCUUCAGGGGUGGACUGUGGACAUAGCGUGGGGCAUAGUGGUUCAGAUGAACCGACAUUUUUUUUUCCAAAAUACAAAGAUCAAUCUUGCGCGAAGAACUGCUCGAGCCAUCGGUGUUGAUGAACUUUAGAGGGCGUGGCGCCACGCAGAACACAAAUCCACAACUCAAUGGUGGAUUUGAUUGCUCGUGCCUACAGCUAAGGAAUGGAACUCUCGGGGCACCCAUCCAAACAAGCUAGGAUUGCUCACCAAGGAAAGAAGGAAUCACUCCACGGCAGGACGGAUCUCCACCCCACGCCACUCCACCAGACCGAGGGAGGAGCACCGCGCCCGCGGCGGCGGUGGACCGAGAAUCAGGCUUAGGGAGGGAGUGACUGUGCGGCGGCGACACGAAAGGCUGGAGGAGGCGAGCUGCGAGCCCAGGUUGAGCCUCCAGAGCCAGCCUCGCAGGGAGGCCGCGGGCGCGCGUGGAUGAGGAGCGGGAGGCCGAAUGCAGCCACACCUUGGCGGGCACACUCACCACGCUCUAACUUUGAUCUCUACCAGUACUGACAGAAAACGGAUCUCACCGGCGAGGUCUCCACGCGGCUCCGGAGCUUGCCGGCGACGGCGGCGGAGGCGGAGGGGGAGCGUGGGGCGGUGGGGGGAGGAGAGAGAGGAGAGAAGGGAGGAAUAAUGGAGAGUGGGGGGACGUUGGAGUUGAGAGUGGAUUUUAUUCAGAUUUCAGGGCCUGGGCCCGGGAAAGUGAAAUAAAUGCCAUUUUCUUUUCUCCCUGUGGGGUUUUCUUUUAUUUAAUAAUGUUUCCUAAGGGGCUAUUGAAAUGGUUCAGCUCCCUUCUCUGUUUAUUUUUAUUUAUUUUUGUUGCAUCAUUGCUUAUGGUGGAGUUUGGAUAAGCUUUUCAGUUUCUUGGAAAUGAUUUGUCAGUUAGACAAUGUGAGAUGUGGACUUGUUUCUAGUAGCAUGGUUGGUUAGUGUCUUAGCGAGCAUGUGUGUUUGAACAAAAUUGUACAAAAUUCACACUCCAACUUUGGAAGUUAGGUUUAGGUUUUGUUUGAUCAUUUAGUUUUUUAAUAUUUUCCUUUGUUUCAUCACCAGCCAUGUAUUUUUUCUCUACUACUCCCUCCUCCUAAAUUAUAGGUUAUUUUAACUUUUUUAAAUUUAUAAAUUUUGCUAUGCAUAUAAACAUGCUAUGAAUCUAUAAAGCCAAAUGACCUAUAUUUUAUAGGAUGGAGGGAGUAGUUCUUAUUUAGUAGUAAUAGAAGAAAUGCUAGAGAAUUGAUGUUAGCGACUUGUGGCUGCCUUUUAGAAACCCUAUAGAUAGUGAUACAAGGAUUGAUUGUUGAAAUUCUAGGCACAACAGAGUGGUGUGUAUCAUACUCAACAUUAUGUGGAGAAAAAAGUGUUUUAUUAGCCAUUCUUAGAAAAAUUUUAUAUUAUAGUCGUGGAUAAAAAAAAGUUGGUAAGCCGCCGUUUGUCUUUCGUUUUAGUAAAAGUAGGAGAAGUGUCACUGUUCAUGAAGGGUUCAUUCGAUCCAUGUAUGAGUUCUCAUAUAGUUACAAACAUCCAAAGAGGCAUGUCAAAUACAAGUUGUAGGAAGGGAUCCCAAUCAAAGCAAGAUGACCUAGAUGGCAAGUCGUGAUGUUCCGUUUUGUUCCUCUCACUCCCUCUCCACGAUGAUAUUGAUGUUCAAACUACUUGGUCAAAAUUUUCAGAAUGACUACAUCACCUUAUUUUUUUCAAUUUACUUUACAAUGAACUAAAAAAUAUUUACUUUACAAUGAAGAAAGAGCAUCUCAACAGCGUAUCUGAACUCAUGAUAUAUGUGUAUAAAAUAAAUCACAAAUCUUCAAACGCAAAAUAUUUUCCCUAAAAAAAUCCAUAUGAAAAAUAAACACCAUUUCCAUGAUUUUUUGGGGGGCAGUUUUUCUCUCACACACUAGUACCGUAUAGUAUUUAGCCGAGAACGGUGCUGUGAUGUCCUUGCUGAUCGACUAAGGGCCUGUUCGCUUCAGCUUAUAAGCCGAUUGAAAAGCUGAAGCGGCUGAUUUGUUGUGAGAGAAAAAUACUGUUUGGUGGCUGAUAAGCCGGCUGAAUAAGCUGAAGCGAACAAGGCCUAAAUCACUGCAUUUUCUGCAACCAGCACAUGAUUGAUGUUUCUGCCACACACUUCUCCAAAGUAAAGCCAAGUUGCAUAUGCCCGUGGCUAAACAUCGCCACUCCCAAACACCCUUUCGGCCUUUCUUUCUCUAAACUAUGAACCCGCCGAUGAAUGUGCAAAUGGCACCAAAAUUAGAUCCCAAACUUAACAACUGGAACCAAGAUUAACACAGAGAUCUAAGCUAUAGUGCCAGCAUAGUGACCCCCCUCCAAGUGGGGGGUUUUCUAUUCCCUUUGCUGCAAGGGAUCUCUGAUUCCAUCCAUCAGAUGCCCAAACCAAACCAAACCACAGCCCAGAGACAGGAGGUAUAAACAAACAAAUCUUGACAUCCCAACAAAAUUGUUUAUGCAGCAGUACUAGCCGGUUGAUUAACUAAGAGAAAACAAUGCAUAAUUAUGUUUGAAUGGCCCCUCCACUGGCAGAUGAUUCCAUGCGUUUCCCUAGCUUUUUUUUUAAUACAGAUUUAAAUUUGUCAGAGUUAGAUCAAGCCUUGCUUUCCAGUGGAUCCUCAGAGAGACCAAAUCAUGCAUUCACCCGGUGAGUUAUUCUAAUUCAGUCAUCAGAGAGCUAGUUUAAGAAUUAUUAAGAGGACAGGGCAAGUGCUAGCUUUGAGGUGAUGCCAUGAGGCUUUAGGCGACAGGCACUUGGGAGUCGUAUAGAUGAUAGGGGCCUGGACGUGUCAAGGAAUUAUUAGCGUCUUUAGGGGCAGGGAAUAAGGGAAAAGAUCUUGCUGUUGGGUGGAGGCGUCGUUUGGCUGAUGACCAGGCUUUGGAGAUGGAUUAAAGAAAGGGGAGGGAGAGAAUUGACCACUAAUCCUUCCAUGGUGUGAGAUUAUUGCUCGCUCCUUUUUGAAGCAUUUUGUCUUUCUUUUGGCACCCUUUUUAAUCUUCUAAGUGCUGGGUAUAUGUUUCUGCACCAACAAUCUUUGAACUAGCAAUGCUGUCCACUAGUUAAUAAGGGGUUAUUUGGAUCUUUAGUCCGGACUAAAAUUCAUAUCACAUCAAAUAUUCGAAGGCUAAUUAGGAGGACUAAACAUGAGCUAAUUAUAAAACUAAUUAGACAGAUGGAGGCUAAUUCACAAGAUGAAUCUAUUAAACCUAAUUAAUCCAUCAUUAGCACAUGUUUACUGUAGCAUCACAUUGUUAAAUCAUGGACUAAUUAGGCUUAAUAGAUUCAUCUUGCAAAUUAGUCUCUAUCUGUGCAAUUGGUUUCGUAAUUAGUCUAUGUUUAAUACUCCUAAUUAGUAUCUAAACAUUCGAUGUGAUAGGAAUUUUAGGAGUGACUAAAGAAACAAACACCCCCUAAUCUUGUUUAGAAUGGAGGAAGUUGGGAGGAAUCCUCAACCCUGAAAGACAAAAGCAAUGGAGAGAAGGAUGGCAGUCUAAUCCUGAAAAACAUGCAAAUUGAAUAAUCCAGUAAAGAAAGAAUCCCAGGGAGCUAUUGGUCCUCUCUAAGCGAGUGCGGUCAAUCGACAAGCUCGCGGUUAUGAGAGGUUUGCAGGUACAAUUGCAACGCAGGCAGACCUACACAGAAUUAACGCUUCUUGCACGGAGAUCAGGAGGCACUAAGCUACUCCAAGAUCCAAAUCUUUUGUGAAGAGAGAGAAAGAGAGAAGCACUGCUUGUACUGCUAACAAUUCACCAUACGCAGUAACAGCGGCACACGUAGCAGUGCACAUGUAAAACGAUCCAUCACCCAUCACUGUUGGCCACCAAAUUCAUUUCCGACCGAUUUGGACGUGUUGCCGGGUACUACUAGAUGCACGUUUCGCCCUGUACAGCAUCCGAUUUCGCCAUCGACCCACUCUCCAUACAUGUUACUGCAUCUCGGACGACCAAUUGGUGAGCCGAUUUCACCGGCGAUGUAAUCUUUGUUAAACAUUGUCAACCACAUGGCAGCAUUAAUCACCGAGGGAGAGCCUUGGUUACAUACAUUAAACCUAGGAUGCACAAAUGUCCAAGUGAUGUGGCAUCAACCACAAUUUUAUAAUGGCAAAAUAGGCAUCUUGAUCCUGAACUGGAUGAACUUCGUCCCUCAACUUUCAGAUUAUCCAAUUUAGUCCCUCAACUUUCAUUUUUAUCAAAUUCGUCCUUGUGCUGAUACGUGGCUCCAUAUUGGUAUGAAACUAAUACAAAAUGUCCACUUUACCCUUGGCUCUUUUCUCUCUACAAUUUUCACCUUUACAAUUACAAUAACAUAUGAUCCAAAAUAAAUAUGAGGAUACAUAUGUUUGCUACGGAGUAUAAAUACAUACAUGGAGUAUGUAUAACAUACCACAAGUAUGUGAGAACAAGUUGAUUUUAGAACAUGACUACACAUAUUGAGUUGUAUAUAUACCAAAAGAAUAUAAGUAAAUACUUAUUUGAGUACAUAUAUUUUGCAUAUCAAAUUCGUAUGAGCACAUGAAUGACUUUAAAGAGUACGAAUAGAUAUACUUUUUAGAAACCAUAUUUUGUGUUAGUUUUAAAAAAUAUAUUGUUAUGUAUAUGUAUUAAGGGAGUAUGAGCACAUACGUGUUUGACCUAGAUGAGCCAAGGGCAAAAUGGAAUUUUUGCAUUAGUCUUAUGCUAACAUUGAGCACCACAUCAACACAAGGACGAGUUUGGCCCAAAAAUAAAAGUUGAGGGAGUAAAUUGGCUAAUCUGACAGCUCGUUCGGCAGCUGCGCUGCUGGCUGCUGGUUGCAGCUGCCUGCUUCUAGUUGCGCUGCAUCUACUGCUUCUUUGUAGCUGGCUUGUAUUGCAGGAUGCCGCAAUUGAGUUCAAAUUUUUAGCGGGAACGCACGCAAUUGAUUUUGAUUUUUUUGGCGCAAACGCAGACCAACCAAUCAAAGUAACCCACCAUCACCAUAUCAAUAGUCAAUAAAUCAGUGUCGUUCUACUAACAAGCAUUACAAUAAAAAAUUCCACACAACUUACUUGACAUACAACAUAUGGUAGAAACAAACACACAUAGACAUAGAACAUUACAGGGAGGCAAACAACGAGGCAUCCAGUACCAUUGCUAGGGUCUGCUUACUCAAAUUCCACUACCUGGCUGCCUAAAUGUCAAAAUUUGCUGUCACCACCUGCGUGUACCCAUUUUGGUAUAGCCAUAGGUCUCACCAACAUCUAUGCAAACUUGUAUAGAAGCAAAAUCCAAAACCAGUCAUACCUGUUAACUACAUCAAGGAGAUUCUUGCCGUAAUCCAAUCUCGUACACUUGCCAUAUCAGGUGUAGCAUUUGCUGCCACCCAUGCAGACACGGCGUAAUCCGGAGUUCGUGCCAUGUUCCUAUAUGCGGUACUUGCAUCGGCACGGUCCAACAAAUAAUUGUGGAGUGCAAAGCAAGCAAUAAUGAUCUUUGUUUGCCUCUCUCGAUCAUAGAAUGAUACUUCUCACAAAAUAUGCCACCUCGAUUUGAGCACGCUAAAUGCCCGUUCCACAACAUUGCGAAGACUCGAAUGGUGGAAGUUGAACUUCUCCUCCAAACUUUCAGCCGCUCUUUGGCUGAACUCCUCUAGAUGGUACCUCGUAUUGCGAUAUGACCCCAGAUAGCCUUCACGAACUGUGUAACCCGAGUCCACCAGAUAGUACCUUCCUACACAGAAUCAAACAUAUUCACCAUUAGUGCAACACUUUUACAAUUGUUGCUUCAUGAAUGUAAUUAGCCAACUAACAUACCUAGAGGUGGAUGUGGGUAAUUUGGUGUCUCCAUACAGUCCCUCAACACUGCCAUGUCAUGACUGGACUCCGUCCUCCCUGCUCCUACAUAUGUAAACCGCAUGUCCAUAUCCACUAUGACUAACACAUUAAAGCUUGACCACCCUUUCCUAUUAAUAAAGUCCAAACGUGACUCACACACGAAUUUGUACGGGAACGUGAGUUCCAUCUAAAGAACAUAUGCACCCAUCAAAGAACGGUGCAUAUGGGUUGAGCCUAUUAUUAACCUUUGAGUACGACUGGUCCUUUGGAGCAAUAACCGUCUGUGCGAAUGAAAACAUGAAAUCUGCCACAUGAGCCAUCUUCGUACUAAUUGUGUCCAAUGACCGCUCAAAUCUAUCUCUAAUCUGUCUAGAAGCCUGUUGUGUCCCACAAGCCCAGACGAACAUAGCUAAAGUCUCGAUAGAUUCGGCCCCUUGUGUUGAUUCCAGCCUAUUAUAAUUAACUAAGAUAUCAUGCAACUGAAGAAAUACAUCAGGAUACAUACGAAAAUUGUCGUAGCACCUCCAACUUUCCCGCAUAUUCAGCUCAACCCAUUGAUGUCUGGUCAUCCGUGGCAACUCCACGGGCGGGUUCACCACAGGAGCUGGACUUCUGCUCGCAGCUGCAAAUGCUGCUACAGCUGCUGCUACCCUUGCCAGCUGGUAUACGAUGGAGCUAGCAUCACUGCCAAUGUUGUUGUUUGAUUCCUCAGCGUAGCUCAUAAUGCAAGCAACCUGUGCACAGAAUAGACAUUAAUGGUUCAGUCAUAAGUCUAUAAAGUAAAAGUUUCGCCACAAGUUAUAGAAUAAACUAUUUCAAACCUGUCAAGGAACUUCCCUAUCCUCCUCCCUGGAUGGCUACAUAGGUCCACAAUGGUCCUCCACGCCUUCCUGGUACAAUGAACAACAAGAUAAAACUUCUUUCUCACUAAUGAACAUGCAAUGUAAAUCACAUGCGUUUUCAUGUAAGAAUGAAAUAGACGCACAUGCAAUGUAAAUCAUGGACCACAUUUAACUUGGAAAAUUAGACAUCACACACAACACAUUGUUCAGGCCAGAGGCCACAUUACAUACUAAGAUAUUGUUCUCUACCAUCAGUACACAACACUACAAUAAAACCAACGGAUGCCACAUUGAACUACCUGUUCUCCCUCUCCCAAUUUUAAUUGGAUCCAAUGCAGGCGGUCCUCUCUGGCUUUCAUCUUCAUGAAGGCCCUUCGAUUCACUGCAUUCUUGCAUAAAUAUAUUGCCAUACAGUACAGAUCAGACCCCUCAUCAAUACCAUCUUCUUCUAAAAUCUGCAUUGCAAGGUCCAGCUCCUCUUGCUCAUGGCUGAGACGUUUCUGGCUUCUCGUAGCUACAAUUUCAGAGAGUUCUCUGACGUAGUCCUCCAAGCUGUCACUCUUUUUUUUUGGAGGACUAUCAACAACUUCCUCCGGGUUAGCCUUUUAGAUAUAUUACGAGCACUGCUAGCAGCCAUAGGGUCUAGGUACAUGUCUGCUGGAGUGUCCUCGGUCCCAAUCCUGGGUGUUGCCUCACGAACACCUCCUGCAGUUAGCAAGGUCCCUCUAUCUUGGGUGGUGUGGCCAAACAGCGUGUAAAGUUCGUCAAGGAACGAUGGUGGUUUAGGAGUACUUGUCUAGGCAGCACUAGCACUAGUUUCCUGCAGGUCACAACACUGCAUGUUAAACAAAAUUUGUUGCUCGAAUUGAAUGAACAAGAAGUAUUGCAAAGGUGACAGCAUGUACCCCUUCGUCGGUAGCCCAAAAAGUAGAAUUAGGUGCAACACCAUCAGUAUGUUUGUCACGGCCUUGGCCUGAUUGGACUUGCAGGUCCCUCUAAUUCAUGAACGACCUUUGCAUGGUGCUCAGCUUAUUCUGCAGCUGCUUGCUGCCUAAAGUUAGACCAGUCUGUUGUUUGAAGUUGCGGUAGACGUGUUGCCAUCCCAACUUAGUUAGGCAUUUGUUGCUCCAAUUCAAUUGGUUCUUCUCAACAAUGCAGAGGUUGAGGAAUAUUUUUAUUGUCGCCUCAUCCCAAUUGGCACGGCUGCUAGCCAUCUGAGCCCAGUUGUACAAUGCAUAGUUUGAGUAGGUAGGAGCUGCAAUUUUAUUUUAACAAAGAAGAAAACGCAGGAGAAAUAAAAGUAGACAAACUCAAUACAUAAUGAACAUGUCACUUGCCUUAGCAGUUGUCUUGGCGCAUUUGUAACGGAGAUUGUAUGGACAGGCUGGUGGGGGAGAGCACGAAGAAGUGGAUGACGAUGCCAGUGUGGGCACCGUCGUGAAGGCUAAAAGUGUACUGCAGGUAGGCUCGCUGCAGAGGACUGCAUAUGUGCAAAAGAAAAUAUUGUCAAAUCAAUGCUUCAAAUUUGCACUCAACAUUGCACCAGAAUUUAGUUACUAAUCCAAUAAAAAUUUAGAGAAGUUUAUGUCAAAAUUAGCAGCAAGAUAAACCAUGAGGUAACACAGUGGUGAAGCACUAGUGCAGCAACAACAAUGUAAAACAUGUGUCCUGUAUAUUUCAGAAACAAGGUAGUACACAUUUCAAUUCACCAAACCAGUAGCAUAUCAAGCUGCUUGAGUACCAGAAUUUAGUUACUAAUCCAAUAAAACUUGCCUAAAGUUCUAGAUGUUCUACUUACAUCAAACAAAGACCUCAACAGGGAGGGAAAUCAAAACAUUUGAUCUUUUGAUAUGAGAAAACACAUGAGCUGCUCCUUCUGAAUGGAAAUAUCUGCAAUUUAGAAAUGGUGUUUUCAUAACGCUAGAUGAAAAAUUAGCAUCAAGCAAAAGCAUGAGGUAACACAGUGGUAAAGCACAAGUGCAACAACAACAUUGUAGAAUCAUGCUGACUUGUAUAUUUCAGCAAAAAAACUACACAUUUCAAUCCACCAAACCAGUAGCAUUUGAAGCUGCUAGAGUACCAAAUUUAGUUACUAAUCCAAUAAAACUUCCGUAGAGUACCAGAAUUUAGUUAGUAAUCCAAUAAAAAUUCAAAGAAGUAUUUGUCAGCAUUUACUAUGAAAAAUAUUUAUUUGUACCAGGAAUCUAUGAAUAUAGUAUAGUAUAUUAGUAAAAUUUCUGGUUAUCUAGGCAAUUUCAACCAAAAGAGCUUGAAACGGAUUAAAACAAGGAUAAAGUAGCAUGUCACAUAUGAAACUAGGCCAAGCAGACAAAAUUUAGAGAAGAUAAAAGGCAGAAAUACAAAAAGUCAGCACCCUAAUACUAGUACCAACCCUACAGAUGCUACAAAGGUUCAGAGAUGUCCCACACUCAAUCAUAAAAUCGAAAGUACUUAAGUUAAGCACCCAAACCACCACCACCACUAUCGCUAAAAAAUAUCCACUUGAGCAAGAAACCUAUGGCGGUAAAACUGCUACAAAAAAUGGGGAUUACCUGGAUCUAAAUGGGGGCUUCCUCAAGUUAUGGCGGUGGCAGGGCCAGAAUGUGGCGGAUGGGAGAUCUGAGUGAGGGCCUCUUGCUCGAGUUGGUAGGCGGGGGGUGCCACGGUGAAGACAGCGGCCGCCGCGAGCCUGGAUCCCGGUUGCCGUGCUGGGCGGUAACCUAGAUUCCUAGCGGCCGGCUUCACCCCGGGUGCCUCGGCUCUGCGGGUAGACGACGGAGGACGCUGUGGGGGCGAAUGGUCCGGCAUCGGUGAUGAAAAGCCCACCCCGUGCUGGAUCUACUUGCUGGAGGCCGCUUCGCCGAUGAAGGGAGGAUGACGCUGGGGACGGAGAAGGAGGGACCGAUGGUGGCGGAGAGCGGGCGAGAGCGAGAUAGUGGGCGAGAGGAGAGUGAGGUGGAUAAGGUUUGCAUUGUUGUGGAUGGAAUGAGAGAGGGAGAGAAAAGGAGGUGCGAAGCCGUCGGUGGGCAGCCGAAUGGCUAGGCUCAUUAGCCCAGCCGAAAAAAGCACAACCGGCUUUUUCAGCCAGCCGAACGAGCUCUGAAAGUUGAGGAACGAAGUUGACUCUCAGGGAUAAAGUAACUAUUUUGCCUUUUAUAAUUGCAAAGUCAUGUAGGAGUAGAAUUGUAGACCGAACCCACACCACACGUACCGUACGCACACCUGUAUAUGGGCGGCUGUGUUUGCAUCUGCGGAGGGAUGGAUGAGACAGAGCUGAAUAGCUGAUGGAUGAUUCAGACAGAAAAAAAUAUCUCGCGAUGAUUGGAGAUUCGGAGGCGCCACGGGCGGACGGGUGGGUGGGGGAGACAGAGGAGAGACGGCGGCCGGAGCCGGGAAAGCCAGCGGCACAUGCGGCCGGCCGGGAAAGCUAGCGGCAGUAGUAAUUGGGCGGCGCUAGUUUGCUUGCCUUGUCCCGGCUCGCCGCCCGCCGUGGCUGUCGGCCGCGCGCCGCCGGCCGCACCGUGACGACUCAGAGCCCAGAAGGGUGGCGGAGGCGCGCGCGGCGCCGCUGUAGCCGGGGCCCUCCCGUUGAAGCCGGGACCCGGGAUCGGACGGCCACUGUUGCAGUCCCACACGUGGACGGACGGUAACGCGGCUUAACGCCCUGGGCCAGCGAUCGUACGUACGAACCGGUCGGCGAUUGGGCCCAGCCACGCCACGCAUCCCGACGCCCGCGGCGGGUCCCAGCUGGCGCGGGCGGGGGGUGGGGGGGCACCACGGUGGCGGUGCCGGCUGUCACCUCGUGCUGUGCUGGCAGGUAAGCUGACUACUAGCUGUGGCCACCACAGCAUCGCCACCAGAGGUGGUGGCAGCCGAGGCCCGGCUGUCCACGCGGCGACCUCCUCGUGCUUUGGAGCCACCGAGCCAGCCUACGUGGUCCGUACCACGUGCCGCGUGCGCGUGCAGCUGUAUACAUUUGCCAAGUACUGGGAGUAGUAUCAGGAAUAAUAAUAAAAAGAAUAUGUUUUUUUCAGUUGUAUUCCUGUGAAGCGGAAGCUAGGUACACAGAGAAAUAGAGAAGCAGCACGUUACGGCACAUGCGCAUUCGCAGCUACGAUUCCGUCGCCUUCACUCAAAAUACACCACCCCAUGUAUGCUGCAUGCAUGCAGGCAGGCAUGAAUUGUUGGUGAGCUCCAACCAGCCAACCAACCAAGCCCGGAAGCCCCGCAGGCACGCACCGCCACCGUCGUGCCCCUGCAUGGGUCGAUGCCGGGUGCGAUGCGACCGUUUCCUUCCCGCGCACUCAUGCGCUAGCUAUGCGAGCCCGUUCGUCUUCCUUCAGUUUCACUUCAAAACGUACCUGACGGCUAGCUGACGCCACCAGCCAAGCUCGUCCCUGCACGCACGCAUGAGCAUCGCUCGACCUCGGCUCGUGUGUGUCUUCGUCGCCACUUGGUUCUAAGCUGAGCUCCUCUGUUUUUGCCAUGCACACGGGCCUUGGUUCUGAAUGAGUGAAUGGGUUUAGAUUACGUGGUCUGUCCCUGAAAAAUCCGAAUAAGAAAGGUUGCUUUUGUCGCACUGCAUGAUCCGGCCGGCCGGAUCGCAGCGCGUAUUGAUUUUCGAUUUGGUUUGUGGUCGGCAUCGACCACAUGCGAGAUUCCUGCUGCGGUGUUAUUAGUGUGUGUGUUGUGAUGCUUCUGCAGGUGGCGGUGGUGGCCUCCUCUCCUCCACACCCAAGUGAUGGAUCCAACACAACAGAGUUUAAGCAGGGCAUCGUCGUGCCUAUAUGCUCUUGAUGAUGGCAGCGGCAUCACAUCUUCACCAGUGAUCGCGCGCACGGCAAUCAUCUCUGCAUCCAUGGGCCUGGCCGGCCACCGACACCAAUUACUGCAGUGCUGAUUUUGGAGGAACUGAAACCACGCCAUCGCUACACGCAUCAGUUGUUUUUCUAAGAUAAGAACUCCUAUACGGAGUAUGUUUUUGUUUUACAAUACAGUAUCGCUAUGUAUUCGAAGAAACACACACUGUUUCCUAGGAGGCUUCCAGAUGUUUCCCUUGCAGGAGACUCUUGGCGUCAUGGUGGUAGAGGCGCCCAACUGCCCAAGAUUAUCGGGGGUGUUUGGGAGAUAGGGGCUAAACUUUAACCCUGUCACAUCGGAUGUUCGGAUACUAAUUAGGAGGACUAAAUAUGAGCUAAUUACAAAACUAAUAGCAGAACCCCUAGGCUAAAUCACGAGACAAAUCUAUUGAGCCUAAUUAAUCCAUCAUUAGCGAAUGGUUACUGUAGCACCACAUUGUCAAAUUAUGGACUAAUUAGGCUUAAUAGAUUCGUCUCGCGAUUUAGCCUAGGAGUUGUGUAAUUAGUUUUAUAAUUAGUUUAGAUUUAAUACUCCUACUUAGUGUCCAAACAUUCGAUGUGACGGGGGCUAAAAUUUAGCCCCCUCCUCCCAAACACCUCCGGUACCUUGUGCCCCAGCCCCAGCAGCACCAUGAUGGUAACCUGGACCAUAGAGGCAACCAGCUCUUGACCUCCGCACACCCAGGGGAGACAAACCAUGGUUGAUCACACGCCAAUGGUCGGCGCAAGUCACAUGAGAGAGAAAAACGCAAAAACUUCUCUCGCUCUCCACAUGCGCUCAUCAGAGGUUUCUACGUAUACACGGUCAACAAUAAUAAUGCAAACUCCUGCCGGCACCAAUGAUUGGCCGCGGCCGGUGCCUGCUCUGCGGUUCUGCCUGCAAGCAGCCUCCAUUAUUUGCUCCUCCUCUUCCUCGAGUUCCCAGCAAGUGAGUCGGCAUUCAAAAAUAUCAUCACACACUAAACAGUAAUGCCAGUACACUUAGAUCAUGUCACACACACACACACACUAUCAUAUCAUAUUCAUGUCGUGUGGGCCAACCCAGCACAAGCUUCAAAGCUUUGAGAAAAUAAAUGGCGAUGCAAUUGAUAUCUAUGCUUAGUACAAUCAUUUGCGUGUGCGUGUGGUUGCAUUUGCAUGCAUGGUAAUGCUAUGGCGCCUAGCUGCUGCACUUCAUGCUUAUUGCUUGCUACUAGCUGUCGUCCACAGGCAGCUCCAGCUCGGCAGCUCGCCGUGCGCCGUCGUGAGACCUCAUCAAUAAUCCGCCAGCGGGCAGCGGCGGGGCUAAACUUCCUCGUACGACGGCCGCUCGUCCAAACAUUGGCUCUGCUCUGCAUCCGGCAAAAGUUAAUACGAUUCCAAGUGAAAAAUCACCGCAUUUGCCUAUCUUCGGCAAUUAGCACUACUGAACUUGUAGCCACAUAGAUCUCUAGUGGCUCCGAUGGAUCAUGCCAUGCAUGUGGAUAUUAGGAUAUAGCUCUUGGUACUAAAUGUGUUUGGCCCCGGCACAGUUAGCUGGAGGGAUGGAUCGGGACACGCUGAUUUGAUAGGCCGUGGUGCUCAUAAAACCCCCGAAAAGGCGCCUUGAUUACGAGUAGUUUAGGGUGUGGAUGGGAGCGCGCGAGAGACCACUCGUCCCAUCAUCCAUUUGCAAAUGUGUAGUCGGCACUUGCAAGCUCAUCAUUACUAGUGAUUAGUCCCGUAAGGAAAAUAGCUUUAGGUCAUAAUGAUUUUGGUGAUUAAUGAUAACAGGAUUAAUGUGUUUGCAAGAUGUACCUUUGUAGGUGUUUUAAGGUUACAAGAUCAUCAAAAUGAGAAGAAAAAGAAAGACUUAGAAGAAUUCUAUGGCAUUCAAAUGAUAGUAAAAAAUUCAGAGGUAGUCUUAUUCUAAGACUUAUAAAUGAUGGUCAUGAAGACGGGAUAAAGACACGCAAAGAUUUGAAGCGAAUCCUACUGAAAAUAUGCACCGACACAUUCCACUGACUCAUACUCUAGUAAUAAUAAUCAUCACCAAUUCAAUCGGUGACCACACGACAAAGGUAGGCGUGUGCACCGUUACCACCGAUUCAUACUCUGGUAACAGUAACCGUCACCGAAUCAGUCGGUGACCACAGCCAGGGGCAAGGUAGGCGCGUGCACUACUAGCACCGAUUCAUACUCUGGUAACAGUAACCAUCACCGAAUCAGUCAGUGAUCGUCGGCUUGGCUCAGAUCGGCUCUGGAAGUUUUGGAGUAUAAUUGAGCCUCAUCAAUUCAUACAGUGACCAUGGCAGCGAAUGAGUCGGUGAUGCGCAGAAAGUUGCAACGGCUAUGCAAUGGCUAGUUUCUUGGCUUGGUGCUAUAAAUACCCCUUUGCCUAGCCAUUUCAAGGGUGUUAGAGCUUGGAGAAGCUAUAGGAUUGGUUCUCACAUACACACAAGUGCUCUAUUCACCAAAGUGCUAAAGAGAAGAAUAAAGCAAUUAGCAUAAGGCUUAGGUCUUGUUUAAUGCUAGUUUAGACCUUUUAACGCAUUGCUUUAGGGAUUAGCGUAGAGUUAGGCGAGGUUUGCACACCGUAUCGGUGCUUGCUCACACCAAGAGUGUAAAUCUGGGGCUUGUAAGUCUUGCGAGACCCUCCAUUCGCGUUUGUGGAGUGGCCGCCGGUGCUUGUGAGAGGGAGGAGAGGCCCUCAGUGUUUUGCCAAAGCUCUACCAAGUGAAGAGCGGCAAGGAGCAUUCGGAAGAGGCUAGGCGGAGACCCACUUGCGUGUGGGGAAGACCCGUCGGCUAUCCCACAGAGUUACUUGACCGAGGAGUUUAUGCUCUUGCGCGGGCAUUAUCUUUGAGAGGGGCUCCAACAAUGAGAACUAGUGGAAAGCUUUGCUUUCGAUACUUCGGUAAAAAUCACCGUGUCGCCACGCCGGGAGUUUACCUUCUCUACCUCAUUUACCUUCCGUAUUUUUUUAUUGCACUUACAAUUCCGCGUUUACCUUUUCUAGAAUUGCCAUGUAUAAUUUAUAGGAUUGAAACUUAGGGUGCAAAACUCUUUUGCAGUAGAAAUAGCUAUGUGAAUAUUUAGAUAGAAAUUGAUAUAGAUUUUUAUAUAGGUUUGGAGCUUAAUUUUUAAAACACCCGAUUCACCCUGGUCCUUCAAGUCCAAUCAAAAUCAAAUGGAUCAAGCGGCAGCUAGCUACGCCGAGCGUUACUACAAGCAUGCAGCUAUAGCUAGCUUGCUAGUCAAACGGCCGGAUUCCCGGCUGGUCUUAAUGCCCAAAGGCGACGUGCAAUAGGGAAGUGGCCAAUCAUGAAUUCCUAGUCCGUGCGUGUAUCGGCAAGAUUAUCUGUUUUGAUCGAAAUGAUUAUUCUUUUUUUCUCUGAAUACACAAAUACUCGUUUCUCUUAAUUUAAUAGGCGAAUUGUAGGCAUAUGGACCCAUGGAUGACUAUCGAGGUCAAGAUUCCUGCCAACAGUGGGGCUGUGAAAAGGCCUCUACGGAGGGACCAUACGACGUGAUGUCUUUCUUCCCAGUAUUAGUCAGCAUAAACAGCUGAAUUAUCGGCACAUCACAAGGAGGCCGGAAAAAACUACAUAUACUAAGUCCUGCCUCUAUUUUCCUUUUUUUUUUGUCUGGCACUGCAGCGAGAUGUUUCUCCUUGUAGUUUUCUUUUGCCGCCAGUAAUUCUUCACCCCUCUCAGGCUCAAUUCAAUGAUGCUAAACAAAUGGAGAUGUGCCUGAAUGAUAACAUCAAAUGCCGGAUGGCAUACUCCGAUCGGAAGCACAAGCAGUUUAACUUCUCAACUGAAAAUGUUCAGCACGUACCGCCGCUUAACUAACUCAAUAAUGGCACACACCAAAUCGCCACUAACACAAAACGGUCAUGAUCAAUGCGCUAAUGAUGGCCACGCUGGUGCGCCACGAUACCCAGCAUAUACAUCAACAGAAAGCGCCGAGCGAUCAAUGCGCAUGUGCGUGUGCGUAUGCCCCGCCCUAGAUAAUAGGCCUACCAAACCCUCGCUCCACUCCUUUGGCGCCAUCAGCAGAAACAGCAAGCCCACACCUAUAUAGGCCCCGAAUGUGCUUGCAAAUACUUGCAAACUUCGGCAUCUACAAUCAUGGAAACCCCUAGAAAAUUUCAAGCCCCUCUUGGCACCUCCUCAACGCAUGCACACGCGUGUGGAGGAUAGCAAACAAGAAAGGAAACAAGAACGAGGAAGCGGCUAAAAACGCACCCCUAACGAGGUGGUAGGAUAUAAGGAUAGCUCAUCGAGAUGGCGUCAUCAUCGUAUGGUAGAGUUCGUUCCCUCUGGUCAAGAGACGCAGCAGGCCUCAAGAUCACCACCACAAGGCACAGGCAAGCGCCGCGAGCAUGUGAGCCGCACAUGACGGUGUCCCCCCCGGAACCACCCUCUCUGGCCUCUCGCGUCCUUGGGCAUCAUCGUCGCGGGAUCGAUCGAUGGAUAGAUCGGGGGCACGCACAAGCACAGCUUCUUAACGGGAGGGGAGGCGACGGACACGGACAGGCUCCAGCCUCCAGGUGCAGCGCAUGUGCCGCAACGGACAGCGCCCAGCCACCGCGUUGGAUUGCUGCUGCCGCUCCCGGCGGAGGGUGGGCGGGGGCGGCUACGGAGCACAAGGGCCAGCCACAGCCGCCCGGGAUGGCAGGGGCGACGCCGACGCCCGACGCCAUACGGGCAACUCGUACUUGCCGUGUCCGUGCGCGUUGCCGCACGCUUGCUGGGUGUGUCCUUGCCGUCACGCGUCGAGGCUGGAUUGGGCACCGGCGGACGACAGGGCCUCCUGCUUCGGAUCGCAGUAAAGCGAGUCACCACCUGGUUGUUGGCUGUUUUUUCUCUAUAGAUCGUCGUUGCUCUGGACAUCGUGCUCUGCUCGAUCUUUCUCAUACACUGAUACAAGUGCUUGUUGGGAGUGCCCUGUUCUAGUUUCGUUUCCCUCUUUCUUCUCUUCUAUGGAUAAGAAUUUUUCGCCUCUUGAAUGAAUCCAUCCAAUAAGCCAAGCCUAACUGCCCUGCCUGAGAUGACUUCCAGGCGAGGAGAUAUUUAUUUAGGUCUUCCGAAAGAAGUAGCAGCACCAAGUGGUAGUUAAGAGCCUAGUUGCGCGAUUACAUAAUGCACAUGGCGCUCAACUGAAAGCAUUGUCACUGUCACCUUAACAAAGGACACUCCCCCACCCUCCAUUUAUCUUUAUAAGGCGUGACAUGACUUGACACGGUCUCCUAAAUUACACUUUGACCGUUCAUUUAUUUUAUAUUAUAUUGUUUAUGAUUAUAAACUUAUGAUCAUUGGAGAGUACAUUUGAUGAAGAAUCUAACCAUUACAAGUUUAUAUUAUAAAAAUAAAAAAUAUUGAUUAAAUUAUUGAUUCAAAGAUUGUAAAGUUUGAAUCUUAAUAUACGUGCACCUUAAAAAACAAAAACGAGGGAGUAAAUUAUUGCUGUUGACUUGCCGAAGAGUACCUCCAGCAGACAACUACUCGCCGAAAGGUUUAUAACCAUCGCCUGAGGCAGUAGCUCCUCUUUUGACCUUGGGAUUGGACGAAAUGGUAAAAGGCAAUGAGGUAGUACAACCUAAUCACCUAAACCUUUUUACGCCACAACGAACAAAAAGUAUUGCAGGGGGCAUCUACCGGCACCUGAAAAGAUGCCAUGACACUUUCUUAUCUCGAGAAAAGGAAAAGGAUGCCACUUCCAUUUUCUUGGAUGAGCAGACCAUGACUACCAUUCCUACACGAAAAUAUGCCUGCAAAGAGACCCUCACAGAAAAGGGGCCAACAAUUGGACACUUCCGUAACAGGCCCGUCAGUGGAUCAGAUCAACGAGAAGUGAUCAGCCCAGGUCUCAUCGGGUCUUCCAGCAAGAGGCCUGAACAUACACCGCAGGCUCUGUAUUCCCAGAGGCAUCAGCCAAAAACUAGUUUCUAUAACAAAAACACCAGGCAAGCACAAGCAGAGGAAGGCCAAUGAAAUUCUAGUAGCAUUCAAUUAAGAAUGCUUCUCAAUUUAACUUCAACCAGAGGAGUCUUCAAGAUAUGCAGCAUAUAUACACGACUACAUCACUGCAUCUUACCGACCCUUAACAAUGUUUAAAUAGCCACAAUACCUGACCCUCCCUCAGCACCUACGAGCUCUCAGUAUGAUUUCACAAAAAGUGGAUUCUCUUCAGGAUACACUACACUAUAUAAGCAUAGUUAUAACUGAAGGCUAUUAUAAUGAGAUCACAGCACUGCAUGCCGGUGACUUCAUGGCCCAAAAUAUUGUUUUAGUGGAACAAUCGCUUCAUAAGUUUUGUUCCCACUUGCCAGUACACCAGAUCACUGGUUAAGCUUCGACUACAGCUGCUAGAUCCUCUUCUGACGACGUUUCUGGUGUGACAAUCUCUUCAGGCAAAUCACUUGGGGAACCGCCUUCAGCCUCCUGCUCUUUUGGUGCUUCAGUUUCCAUCAAUUUCUUAAGUUGCAUCUCUAGAUCUUUUGCAACACUCUCAUUUUCAGUAAGGUAAGAUUUAAGGUUAUCUUUACCAUGGAAAGUAAUAUCAUUGAAACUAUAAUAUGCUCCACUAAUCUUCUUGAUAAGUUUGCGCUUCAAUCCGAGUUCAACAAGCUCAGAACUGCGGCAUAUCCCCUUUCCAAAUUCAAUCUCAAACUGUGCAGUCUUGAAUGGUGGGGCAUGCUUGUUUUUCACAAUCUUCACAGCAACUUGACUACCUAUUGUCUGCAAAUAGAAACAAUUAUCAUUCAAAAGCAACAUAAAGUUACGUGCAUACUGUUUCAGGGAGCACCAAAUCUUACUACAUGCAAAUCUAAUAUAAGUCAGUUAUUCUGAUUCACUACGAAACAAAACCACUAAUAUUUAUGCUUGUAGAGUGACAGCACAUGUAUGUGCCUAUAAGUUGCCUAUUCUAUGUGUCUAGUAGUGGUUCUGUUAAAUAGGUCUCAUGCAGAAAUGGACAUCUCUGUUUCGACAAAGUCAUGCUGUGAACAUACAGAACUUUACAUGUUAAAGUAUUGACUAAUAAUAGAAAACAUGGAAAUAUUAAAGAUACGGCUUAGUUAAAUACCUCUUCUCCUUUCUUUACCAAACCAAUACGCUUGAUGUUCAAGCGAACAGAAGCAUAAAACUUCAAGGCGUUGCCACCGGAAGUUACCUCAGUCGGUCCCCCAAAUCCAAAUGUGGCUACCUUGGCCCUGGUCUACAAUGGCGAUGAAAAAACUAAGUUAGUAGCAAAAAAUACAAAGCUCAUUGCAAGGAAAAGAAUAGCUAGAACUUCAAUAAAAAACAGAUGAACUGCAUGUAGAAAUGCUAAGACUGCACAAGAAAAAUCUGUACCCCUUCAAAAAAUGGACAGAACUGUUAGCUAAUGUUUCCUGAUCUACAGUAUGACAUUCUUUUUUUAGCUUUAGAAGCAUGUAAUUCUGGAAUAUGAAGGUAAAUAAUGUACAAUUGUAGUAACAAGAACAUGUUCAGACUUGUUUAUGUGAUGCUUCACUUCAAUGUGGCAAAUAAUGAAAUCAAUAAUUCAAUGCUACAUAAAUUACUUUAACCAAAGCUGAGGAAUUAUGUAUGACUAAUACCUGAUUAAUAAAUAACAGAAUUGUCUGGGAAAGUGAAAGGGAGUGGCUCAGCUUGCGAAGAGCUUGGCUCAUCAAUCUAGCCUGAAGAGCAACAUGUGCGUCACCCAUCUCCCCAUCAAGCUCAGUCUUUGGGACAAGAGCUGCUACCUGCAUCAUUGAAUAAAUAAUAUUAACUGUAAGCUAAAUCUGAAAGAAAGAUAUUGUUUCAGGCUAUUAAAAUUGAGCUGCAUGCUUGAACUGCUAAUUGGAAAAUGUUUUUCCAAACUAAAAUGGAACUGCACCACUGCACAGAUUGAGAGUAACUCCGCUCAAAAAGAGAGAAUCAGAUUGGUGAAGCAGCUAGAUGGAGCUAGGUCUUACACUGUCUACUACAACAACAUCAACAGAUCCACUUCGAAUUAGUGUGUCCACAAGACUGAGUGCCUGCUCAGCACAGUCUGGCUGAGAAAGGAGUAAAUUGUUGGUGUCAACACCAAUUGACUCCGCAAGAGCUGGAUCCAAAGCGUGCUCCGCAUCUACAAAGGCACAGUAACCUAGAAAAUGGCAAAAAUAUAAAAUCAUUAAGAAUAUUUUAACAGAAGUUGAAAAACACAAGCUUGUAGCUAAAGAUAGAAAUUCCUGUGCACGUAAAACUAAAAUUUAAUCAUUUUUUAAACUACUCAAAUGAUUGUGCAUGUCAGGGAAAAAUGAUAAGGAUUGGUAGACAAAGUAUGUUCAUACUAGAGAAAGGUGCUGUCGGCCGACUUCUUUUCAUGUUUCAUACUCUAAAUGUAAGACAUACUUUCAUUUUUACUUCAGGUAUUGCAACUCCCAUUCUUCAAAUAGCUUUUGUUUAAUAGGUGGGCUAGUAACCUUUUUCAAGGAAACUGGCAUCUGUGAAUGAAACUGAAAAGCAACCUAUGUUCAUGACUUGUGUUAAAAUAGAAUACUUAAAGAAUUACGAAUCAUCAUGCAUUGGAGGAACUGCCUUAAAAAUUGUCAAGGUUGGUGUGGUCUCCCCUCCUAGGUCAGGGAGAGGGAGGGAGGGAGGACCCAGUUUCCAUAGGAUAGUGCACCCCUUAGUGGUGAAUGCUAUAAAAAAGCAGCUGAGCAUUAAAUUAACAACAUCAUGUGCAUGCUAUAAAUAAAAUCUUAAACUUCAUAGUUUUGGUUAUCCUAGUUAUCAAGGUACUUUCCUCUUUUUUCUCUAUCCUAAGUAGCAAGUUGCUAGGUCAAGGAAAUCAUACUAUAGAGGGGUAGAAAGUUCUGAGUUUACCCCCAUUCUUUUGUGCUUCUGCAAUGACAUGUAGAGCAAGAGUUGUCUUGCCUGAAGCCUCUGGACCAUAAACCUCUAUGACACGCCCCUACAAAAGAUAUUGGCGCGAAACUUUUACAAAAUAAAAUAAGUCAACGAAGAACAUCAGAAACUAGACUAACUGAAUUUUUCCAAUUUGAAAAUAAAAUCAUGCAAUGAUCAACUGAAAAGAAGAUCUGCUUAAAUAAUUUAUAUGCAAAUGCAUACCUUUGGAAACCCACCAGUUCCAAGAGCCAUAUCCAAAGCAAAAGACCCAGUAGAUAUUACAGGUACAUCUCUAUGGCCUUGUGAACGGCCAAGCCACAUUAUUGCCCCCUUCCCAAAUGCUGAUGUUAUUUGAUCGAUAGCCUGGUGUAAAGCCAAGUCCUUCUUCGACAUAUUCUCCUCACCAGAGUCAGUUCCACUUGACUUUGACUUCUUUUUCGCUACAUAGGCAAGAGAAUCAGUAAGUGAUCCAGUAGGUAGUAGGAGAGGAGCAUAACAGAAAGAAAGGAAAAAGUCAUCUAGUAGUAUAAUCAAGUUACAGUGCAGGUAACAAUAGGAGAUUAAGACAGCGACACUACGUGGAUAGCACGAGGGGAACUGCAGAUGCCAAUGCUCACUAUAUAUAAUAAAAGCAUGUGAAAAAAGCAUAUGGGAGUUAAACUACAACCUUUAGAUGAGAACUCUCGGCAAUGAAACGUGGAGCCACAGAUCCCUUGCUUAUAGCUCUGCGCAAGUAUUAGAGAAACAGAAAAAUAGUAAAUCACUAGGAAGAGCCUUUUCUAAUUCUAGUGCAUGUAUCACAUUGCAUCCAAUGUUAUUACUUUUUUUAAUUCUAGUCAUCCAGUGUUGCAGUUCAUACUAUAGACAAAUAAUGAGCCAGUCAAUCGGAUUAGCACUGGUCAUCCAGUUAGCAUGGCAUGAGACUGAUUGUAACCUCUGGAAAGGCAGUGGUGCCUCUCUACUAAUCUGACACAUAUAUAUUAAUAGCAAUGGAGUGUGCUUACGACUUUGUAUGAUGAUUGGAAAAACAAACUUACCACGCAGUAUGGGGAAACGUUAUUUCCCACAGAAACGAGAUAUUUAGGCGGCGCUCAAUAAAGCAGGGAGAAGUAAGCAUUAAGCAAGUGAUCAACGUGCAUCAAUUUAGUGAGAUAAAAGGUCAGACAGGAAAAUAACGGGUUUGCUCAGUCGGCAAUUGAGAUUCCAAUGGAGGAAUCAGCCCCCAAAGGCCGCGAUUUCACAUUCAAACGAUCGAACUCAGCGACGCCGCGACCAAACUAGGGUUCCCACUCCCAAUCAGCACGCUGGAAACACUAAACUAAACACAUCGAUCAUUCCACCGGGAACCCACCAUUCGCCAACCCAUCCCAGCCCAAAAUCACAAAACCGAUUAAAUACAGCGGAGAGAACCUCAGGGUGAGAAGAAGAGUAGGAGGCGGCGGCGAUGGCGCGCCGCAGCGAGACGCGCCUGAGGAGGGUCGCCAUGGCGGCGGCUUCGUCCCCAGCCGCUGGAAGCCGCGGGGAGAAGGGCGGGGGCGGAGGAGGAGGGGGCUAGGGUUUAGGGUUUUUGCGGGGCUUGGGGUUUUGGCUCCGCUCCGCCCGCUUUUUGAGUCCGGUCUCCGCCUCACCGGGCUCCCACUCCGGGUGUCGGGAAGAGCUCCCCCCUGGCCGGCGGUCGCGGGACACACCGCGAUGGACCGCGCGUGGACCCAUCUCAGUGCGGAGCCAACUGUUCAGAGUCUCAAGAUGACCCACCCGUGGACGUGGUCCACAGAGGUUUCUUUAUGUUGACUGGAAGCGGGCCCACAUGAACUCGCCUGAUGGGCUCGCACAGAGGCCCAUCAAUGGACGAAUACGUAUAAGGCUUGGCCCAUUUCGCACCGUCGUAUCCCCUGCUUCCAGCUUGCAGAGUUGCAGUACAUCCUCAGAUCCUCCUCCGUCCUCCCCUCGCGUAGGCUCGUCGUCUUCUCCGGCUGGAACCUCCGGCCAAAACCCAAACAAAACCGCUGUUCGGAGGGGCUUGCCUUGAGUGAGAUUCAAUCCUUCGGGGCGCCAUUGCCGCCUGCUUCCUCUGCUACGAGAGGUGGGUCCUUUUCCAUAUCCAUUUCUGCUCUUCUCGUCCCGCUCACUCCGUCGCUGGAUGCUCCUGCUCCCGCGGCGUUGCUUCUCUGGGGGGCUGACCACUUCAUCUCCAUCCUCUAUUGCCUCCUCGGAUGCGGCAGCGACUCAGGCCGCAAAUCGUGCAGGGAAAGCGGCACAGCGGCGCGCGGCUGUGCGGCGCUGCUGGCGACCUUGGGGGAAGUCCGUACCGCGUACCGGCCCCUGCCUCCGGUGGCCGUCCUCCGGCCUCCGCAGAAGCAUCCGCCGCUCUCGCAGCGCCGACCGCCGGCGGCCUCGAGUCGGGAGCGCUGUCGGCACAGUAAACCCGACCAAUAUUUUUUGCAAAUCGCCCCCUCAUUUGGAUCGCGACUAUUAAUCGCGAUCCAAAUAUUUUCAUAAAACCCCCUAUUUUGGAUCGCGAUCAUUAAUCAAGAUCCAACUAUUUGCUCAAAACCCCCUAAUUUGGAUCGCGACUAUUAAUCGUGAUCUAAUUUUUUGCGAAUCAGUCCCUCAAGAGUUUGCCGGCGAGCUGCGGCGCCCUUGACGCAUGCGGAGCGUGCGUUCACACCUCCCUCUCCUCGUAGCCGUCCUGGUGCUCCUCCUCCCAGUGUCCCUCCUCUUCCCGCUGCUUCUCCACGUGAGAUUCGCGUGAAUUCGCCGUCUUCCCCGAUCGCAAUCUCGCAACAAAACCAUCGAAUCGAGCUGCUGGUUUGAGGGAGGGCCUCCUUUGAGUGAGAUCCAAUCCUCAGGCGCCAUUUUCUUACUGCGUUCCCCACAAAAAAAGUUGGGUUCUUCCCAUGACCGUCGAUACUCUUAUCGCCCCGCUCGCUCCAUCACUGGUUGCUCCUGCUCCCGCGGCAUCACGUUCUCGCCAAUACGAAACCUCGCGGCGGCGUUUCGUUGGUACGCCGGCUUCAUUUCUCUUAGCUUAUGUGAUUUUUCUGUGCUUUGGGUUAUGGAACUUAGUGACCUUUGUGGCUCAUGGAUGAGGUCUUAGAAUACUCAUGGAUCACCAAUUGAGCAUUUUGUAGAUGAACUGGUGGUGUAAAAUGGGAAAUUAUUUGUGUCCCUGGGUACUGAACCAAAUGUUAACCUGCGAAUGGAGUGUCUUGAACUGCAUUACUACCUAUCUUUACAUCUCUAUUUGUCUUUGGACGUUUGAUGCAUAUGAAAAGUCGCAUAUGAAAAGUCGGGCAUUUGCUUAAGUUUGUUCACAGUGCAGCCUUAUGUUGGAUAUAGUGCUAUUAGUGAACUAUAUGAGCAUUUUAAAAUAAACCACAUAUACUGGAGGAAUGACUGAUGCCUGUAUGUUUUGAUGCUGAUUUCAGUUAAAACAAAACUAGCCAUGGAUGUCAAGAGUUUUGACCUGGGUUGUUCCUUGGGUAUGGAGAAUGACAGUCUAAGUUUGUCGCCAUUUCUGAACAAACUUUUCAGAGAGGUCUGUAGUUUUGACACCCCAACCUCGAGGCACAUUACUUUGCAUUUUGAUGAUGAUUUGAGUUGCAGUGGGAGGAUCGCAAGGCAAGGGGAUUGUUUCACCAUGACAUCAGCUCGUGUGAAACUAAGGUUUUCUUUUCCAUUCUCUCUGAUUAACUGCCCAAGUUUCUUUUGUUGAUUUUAUUUUUUUUCUAUUCUAAUUCUAUACAAUCAUGUGAUGAUAGGUACUACCUGGACAACACAACUUUGUGGCAACAUUAAUAGAAGGACGUGAUCAAAAGAAACGACCUACUGAGUUCGGAAUGAACCAAGUCCUCCAGCCAUUUGAUAGUGGGAAGUUCAAUUUCACAAAAGUUAGGCCAGAGGAAGUGAUCUUCAGAUUCUGUGAAGCUGAUAAAGACUCUGCCCAGUAUUUUAAUGAUGCUCCUGAUACUAUUUCAUCUUCAUCUAGUGCCAUUUUGAUUAAUGUCAGUGUGUUCCCCUCUCAAAAAUUCACUUACACCUUACUGAUAGAAUUAAAACAUGAUUGAUCGUUUGUCAUUUCCACAUCACAGGUGAGUCCAAUUGGUUACUGCCAUGUUCUUUUGACCCCACAAAUCCAGGAUUGUUUGCCGCAAAGGAUUGAUCACGAGAGCUUCUUAAUGGCCAUGUAUGUUGCUAGGGAGGCAAGGAAUCCCUUCUUCAGAGUUGGUUAUAACAGUUUGGGUGGCUUUGCAACUAUCAACCACCUUCACUUCCAGGUUAGUCUUUAGAAUCGUAUAGUUGUCAAUUGCACUAAGGCAACUGUCCCUUUUUCACAGUACCUCUCAGCAAGUCCUGUACUGACAUUUUGUUCGUUAGGCAUACUACCUGAAAGUACAGUAUCCAGUUGAAAAGGCAACCACAGAGAAGCUCACAACCCUAGUCAAUGGUGUGAGCAUUGCCCAGCUGGUGGGUUAUCCAGUAAGUGGUUUUGUGUUCGAAGGUGGGGCAAGCCUUGAGGAUUUGUCAUGUAUGGUUUCGAAAGUCUGCAUCUUCUUGCAAGAGAACAACAGACCUUUCAAUGUCCUUAUCUCUGAAUCCGGCAGGAGAGUUUUCCUCCUACCACAGGUAUUGCCAUGCAACCUCCGUUGUUAAAGUUCUGAAUUAUGAAACAAUGUUCUUAAUUCAUACUUUAGCAUUGUAUUGACAUUUAUCUCCCUCCUAAUCGAUCGACCAGUGCUACGCGGAGAAGCAGCUCCUCGGAAAGGCAAGCCAAGAGUUCCUCGAAAUGAGAAUCAAUCCCGCAAUCUGGGAGCUCAGUGGCCAUUUGGUACUGAAGAGGAAGAAGGACUACGAUGAAGCCUCUGAGCUAUACAUAUGCAGAUUUUUGGUUGAAGCAGCUGUUUCUGAAACAGAAUUCCAACAGCUGAAGCAAUGUGUGCUUGACUUCCUGACUGCCUCUGCUGCUUGUAAUUCGGAUAUAGAUUACUAGAGAGUGGUGACUAAUGAUUUUGGGUACUGUAUUCAUAACUGUUACGAUGGUAUAUCAUACAUUUGUGACGACUGUUCAUCUCUGCAAUGAGAAACACCUGUCUUCUCCAUCUGCAAUUUCACAACAAAACCACCAGAUACUGGUACACAGUAGUUGGCUUUGUAUUGGAAAGUAGCGCACGGCUUGGGGAUUUACCGAAUGUGCUUCUUUCAGCGGUCGAAAUAUUCGUUGAAGGGAACAAUAGACAAUUCAGCUUCCUUAUCUCCGAAUCUGGCAAGAGAGUUUUCCUCCCACAACCAUUACUUAUUGCCAUGCAACCUCAGCUGUAGAAGUCCUGAAAUUUGAACUUGCUCAUUCUUCAAAGUCUAGCAGUGGGAUAAUACCAUUUGCCGCCCUCAUUGGAUCAGUGCUGUACUGCUAUGACAUGAAGGAGCUCCUUGGUCCAGCGAGUCGAGAGCUCCUCUACAAAGAAUAAGUCCAACGAUCUAGGAGUUCAGUGGCCAUUUUGGUACCGAAAAGGACUAGAUUACAGAUUACUAGAGUGAAGCUGGUGAGAGAAACAUUCUGAUUACUGAUUGAACAUCAGGAUUUGAAGAGAUUCGUCCUGACUCAUGAGUUCCUGACCGGGGCUGCUGGAUGCAACUCUGCCAUAAGUUUGCCUAGAGUGCUGACUAAACGAUUUCGUAUCACUACAGGUUAAAGAAUUAUAGUUGUAGGUGAACUAAAUUGGUACAAAACUGCUCUUAUGAGAUGCUAAUAACGCGAUUUAAGUCUCGAUCAACAUUUAAUUGAGUACUAGUGUAGUAAUUUUAAAUAGUUUGUAAGGUAUAAACGGCCUAUUAGCUCAGUUGGUUAGAGCGUCGUGCUAAUAACGCGAAGGUCGCAGGUUCGAGACCUGCAUGGGCCAAGGUUUUUAGUUUUUCUGAUUCUCUUUUGAAUUAAUUUAUUUUUUUGCAUGGGGCCGCAGCCCGGGGAUUUGGGCUUUACCGGCUUCAUCAUCUUUCUUCCCAGCUACAGCAACGCUAAGCCGUACUAAAGGGACCUGUAUUUUUAGCGUAUUCACGUGGACGGUGGCAUGGCUGCAAUCUUGCAGACGGCGUGUUUCAAGACCACGAGUGUAGGUGUUGUCAGAGCUAAAGUAUCAUUAUACAGGUCGAUCAGUGCAUGCUGAUCGAUCUACAAGUAUUUUGACUUAUCUACAGCCGCCGAACCAAACGCAUGCACAGUUUUUUUUCCCCUCUCUUCAUCGUUUAUUCUAUUACAAAACGCAAACGCAUUUCAUACAGACACCGACAGCGAUAGAGAUGUGAAAGUUGACCCCAUCCAGAAAGCGGAGUGCUCGGGGCUCCAUGAAACAAUCUCACUGCUUUAUGUGUCAGGGUCGUUCAGAAUUAUCUUAAUUUACUUAGACUUUUAGUAAACGCAUACGUGUUUUUGUUUAUGACGGGUGAUUUAGAACAAGUCAUUACUGCGCCAUCAGCUUCAACCAACCGUGCCUACGUACGGCUACAGAUGCCGUAUCCUCACGUUCAACCACGUGUUCUAGAAAUCAAUCCUCCCUUGGGUAGACGAAAGGCUGUACUGGAUUAGAACUUGGAAGGCUCUAUAAUUCCUGCAUGGCAUUUGAAGUCUGUAGCUGCAGUGGCCGAUAUAUUUUUACUAUUUUCUUUGUUGAUUGAAAAAACAUUUAAAAAAUAGGCAAAAGCCCAGAUGGGCUAACGGGCGGAUCAAGAUGACUAGCCCGCCCGUAACCCGGGCAACUACUAGAUUUAGGCGGCCAGGCCGGGCCCACCGCAUCUACUGCGACCUGCGUUGUGCGCCAAACAUGAAACAUCCGGGCCAGGACUGUACUCGGCCACGUUGCCUAAGUCCUACCUCUCCCCGUCCGUCCAGCCCACACAACUCCCUCUCUUCUUUACCCGGCUUGCGCUUGCGCCCAGCGCUGCGCAAAUUCCCCUCCCCCCAAACCCAGGCUACCCGAUCCGGAGCGUUUCUCUCUCCGCGAUGGCCGAGCAGCCCCCGCCCGGCGGGAUCGACCCGCGCAGCGGCUUCUGCGCCGCGACGCGGACCUUCCACAGCCUGCGCCCGUCCUCCACGCUCCCGCCGGACUCCCUCCCGGCCACCGCCACCGCCUACGCCUUCUCCACCCUCCGCUCGCCGCUACCCGACCGCCCCGCGCUCGUCGACGCCGCCACCGGCAUUGCCGUCUCCUACCCCUCCUUCCUCGCCGCCGUCCGCUCCCUCGCGGGGGGGCUCUGGUCCGCCCUCGGCGUCCGCCCCGGGGACGUCGCGCUCGUCAUCGCUCCGUCCCGCCUCGACGUCCCCGUGCUGGACCUCGCGCUCAUGUCCGUCGGCGCCGCCGUCUCGCCCGCGAACCCGGCGUCCACCGCCGAGGAGUUCGCGCACAUGGUCGCGCUCGCCAGGCCGGUCGUCGCGUUCGCGGCCCCCGAGGUGGCCGCUAAGCUGCCGAGGGGCCUCCGGUGCGUCGUCAUCGGGUCGGACGAGUACAAGAGGCUGUCGUCCGCCGGAGGCGCGUCGCCGCCGCCGCCGGUGGCGGUGAAGCAGUCCGACACGGCGGCCGUGCUGUACUCGUCGGGCACCACGGGGCGGGUGAAGGCCGUCGCGGUCUCGCACCGCAACCUCAUCGCGCUGAUCUGCACGCACAGGGCGAACCGGGAGAAGGUCGAGAAGGAGGCUGCCGAGGCCGGCGAGGAGCCGCCCCCACCCACGGUGACGCUGCUCCCCCUCCCUCUCUUCCACGUGUUCGGGUUCAUGAUGCUGCUCAGGUCCGUGGCCAUGGGGGAGACCGCCAUCCUCAUGGAGCGCUUCGACUUCGGCGCCGCGCUGCGCGCCGUCGAGCGGUACCGCGUCACGCUGCUGCCCGCGGCGCCCCCGGUGCUGGUGGCCAUGAUCAAGUCCGAGGAGGCGCGCCGCCGCGACCUCUCCUCCCUCCUCGUCAUCGGCAUCGGCGGCGCGCCGCUCGGCCGCGAGGUCGCUGAGCGCUUCGCCGCCAUCUUCCCCGACAUAGAACUUGUUCAGGUUCCACGCACCCUGCAGAUAAUCAGUUAACACCAAGGCUCUCUUGUGACGUUGUGCGCACGCCAGAUUCCAUUCUGAAUCUAUGUUUCUGAUUCCAGGGCUAUGGUCUGACGGAAUCGUCUGGAUCGGUGGCUGCCACGGUUGGUCCGGAGGAGUCCAAGGCCUACGGUUCGGUUGGAAAGCUGUCAUCGCACAUGGAGGCUAAGAUCGUCGACCCCACCACCGGCGAGGCGCUCGGGCCGGGGCAGCGCGGGGAGCUUUGGGUCCGUGGACCAGUCAUUAUGAAAGGCAAGUAGACUAAACCUUAGGGGGUGUUUGAUACCCCGCUAAACUUUAGCACCUGUCACCAUAUCGGAUCAUAUUAGAUGUUUGAUACUAAUUAGAAGUAUUAAACAUAGUCUAAUUACAAAACUAAUUGCACAGAUGGAGUCUAAUUCGAAUCUAAUUCACGCGACGAAUCUAUUAAAUCUAAUUAGUCUAUGAUCGGAUGGAUUAACUUUUGCACGCGAAGUUCUUCCGAUGAUUAUCCAUUCCCUAGGACUUUCAUCGGUAAUAUAAUCACACGGUUGGAUUGUACAGUUUUGUUUUGUCCGAGUCAUGGGCUGUUGAUUGCCGUGUCUGAAGCCAUGCAUUCCUGUCAUUAGACCAAGCUCUUCUAAGGGCCAGUUUGGCUCUAGGGUGUUAAAAGUUUAACACCCGUCAUAUUGAAUAUUUGGAUGCUAAUUAGGAGUAUCAAAUAUAGGCUAAUUACAAAACUAAUUGCACAGAUGGAGUGUAAUUCGCGCUAAUUAGUCCAUGAUUUGACAAUGUGGUGUUACAGUAACCAUUUGCUAAUGAUGGAUUAAUUAGGCUUAAUAGAUUCGUCUCGCGAAUUAGCACAGGGUUUUGCAAUUAGUUUUAUAAUUAGCUCAUGUUUAGUUCUCCUAAUUAGCAUCCGAACAUCCGAUGUAGCACCUCGUAUCCAAACAUCCCCUAAUUUGCAAGCUGCAUGGUUUGCGUGCCAUGUGUUUCAUGGGGGCCUUUCUUUGUCAUUUUGCUUAAACAUUUGUCCAUCCAAAUCCAAAUACAGUUGGUCAGUGCAGUACCUUUAUAGCUACAGAUCUGCAUCACUGGCAAUGCAUGGCUGCCUGUUCUGCUACUUUAUUUCUAAUGAAUAGUACUAAUGCCAUCCUGGCACUGAUAAGCAUUCAGUGUCCGUUGAAAUUGUAUAUUAUCAGCGAGCCAUGUGGACAACAUGGUGUUUUAUGUCUGAAAAACAGCACUUCUUUCGCUUUCAUGCUUGGCGUAGCAACUGUUUAGAAUGUGAGCUGGUCUGGGACGCCAAUGAACCGACUUCAUCAGAUUAUUUCAAGGUUUGCUAGUAGCAGGACACAGAUCAUAGAUCAUAAGUUUUUUGUCAUGUUUUUAUUUUUUUUAAGGCAAUACGUUCCCAGGGAACUUUUUUUGUUUUAUAUAUUUCCUUUGAAUAUUGGAAAUUGUUCAUUUUUGGGCUACUACAUGAGUCAUAUGAUGAUUUUUUCCAGGUUAUGUGGGUGAUGACGAGGCGACUGCAGCAACAAUGGAUUCAGAAGGCUGGUUGAAAACUGGUGAUCUAUGCUACUUCAAUGAAGAUGGUUUCCUCUACAUUGUUGAUCGAUUAAAGGAGUUGAUAAAAUACAAGGGAUAUCAGGUGAUGCAGACUAUCACAGCUAGUACAAAAACUGCGAUAAAAUUACCAUUGAAGGAUUUUAUCUGACAAAUUUUUGUUUGUGUUUGCGUGGUACUGAUAUAAAUCUUGCUUCAGGUGCCUCCAGCUGAACUGGAGCAUAUCCUGAAUUCUCAUUCUGAUAUCAUGGAUGCUGCAGUUAUCCCGUAAGUACCUGGCAGUAAACCUGUGAAAUUCUAUACGACUAUAGAUUCGAACUAAUGCUGCUGUAAGAUUCCUUCAUCAUGGGACAAUAUGUGAGAUGUUCCUUCUGUAUGCACUAUGCAGAUAUCCAGAUGAAGAUGUCGGGCAAUUACCAAUGGCUUUCAUAGUGAGGAAACCAGGCUCAAACCUCACCGAGCAACAAGUCAUGGAUUACGUGGCUAAACAAGUAUGCUUCUCCUUUUGAUUAGUUCUGCUCCAUAUAGUUUCAUAUUGAACUACAGGUGUCCUGUCAUAGUCAACUUCGUUCAACCUUUUUCCUAAACAAAUUGUGCAAGUUGCCAAGUUGAGUAGAAAUUCUUGCUAUUUUAGUAUUGUUAGUUCACACUGGUUUUGUGCUUGUCUGCUGUUAAGCAUAACAUUCUUUGCCCUGAUGCAAAAGGCAACACUGAAACGUCAUGUACUACUAUAGCAUACUGUUUGCAUGUAUCUAUGGAAAGCAACCUAACUUGCCAGCGGCCAUUCCAGCAAGGGAUCAUGCCGCCACUGAUCCUUUCUUUAUGCAUGAUAUUCUAACAACCUUUUGCUGGAAUAACUUGAUAAUGCCUUAGCACUUCAGGCUAACUCCGGCCUGAUUUUUUUCCUUUUAUGGCAGGUCGCACCGUACAAGAAAGUCCGCCGAGUGGCCUUUGUCUCUGCAAUACCGAAAUCGCCUGCCGGGAAGAUCUUGCGGCGCGAGCUUGUACAGCAGGCCGUGUCCAUGGGUGCCUCCAAGCUUUGAGGUUUAUGCUGACUUGGAAAUCUAGGAGGAAAGUUCUUGUGUAGUAUACCAUAUUACCAGACCCGGGAUUUGUACUGUUAGAAUAAUUAGGUUGUUGGCCCAUUAUUUAAUUGAUCAAAUAAAUCCCAAGGCUCAUUAGUGGUGGUAGUUACACUUGGAAGUUGAGAGGGUCUCUAACCAAUCAAUUUAUAAGGUGGAGCUAUGUUGCAUCUGUUGAGAAGCUGAGGGAGGGAUAGCAGGACGCCGCGCGCCGCCCCGCGCCGUGACCGGACGGGAUGUGUGGGCUGGGCUUGGUCAGGUUUUGUUAACAGACGACGGACGGGAUGUGUGGGCUGGGCUUGUUCAGGUUUUGUUAACAGACGAUUGAAUAGCUGGUAGCUAUAGCUAUCAGUUACCACCAGAAAUUGAUCGUUUGAUUGCUACAUUAACCUGAGCAUCCAAGAGUCUUUGGUUUCUAUAAGAGAGGUGCUACCUCUUUUGCGUGCGUCAAACAACUCCACCAGAGCUUGCUAUCUUCCACUCUUGCGUUGCGCUCUUGUCAUCUCCGUUCCGGCUGUCUACGUGCACAAAGUUGCAUCCUUGUUCGGGACUCUGCACCUGAGGAGUAGGAGGGCGAUCAAGUUUUUGGGGAGCGCAUUUGCGGGACUGCUUGCUGUGUACGUCUACUUCCUGAAGGCGCAACUGCACGGCGAACUUUUGCACUGCGUCAACUCUCGAUCGACUACACCAAACAAGCUCAACUAGCAAUGUUGGGUAAUGGCGCAUCUGGUUCCUCCGGAACUGGCCCCGUCUCAAAGUACUUUCUUAUGAACCAGUCUUUCGUUUCAAAGUAUCUGUUGCAUGCUUUAUGUUCACUGCAAAUAUAAUAGAUCAUGUUCCUGUGUAUGCUAUCUUUAAUGUCAUGAUUUAUGUUUUAAUUCAAAUUAAACUGAACUGCAAACUUCCUCUAAUUUCAACAAUCCAAAAAUUUGAUAGGGCUUUUUCGGUAGUUGGCUUUGCUACGUAAUUGAACCGAAUGUAUUUGAUGGAACGAAUUAUAAGAGAUGGGUUGGCAGACUUGAGUUAUGGCUCACGGCUACGAACGUGUGGUUAAUUACCCAUGAGCGUCCUGUGGGACCGCACACCUCCGUUGAGGAUUUAUUGUAUAUAUGUCUGCUGACAAUUUGUUCAAAGGGGCUGUGAUCAGUGUUCUUGCUGAGAACUUGAUCGAUUCAUACAUGCAGCUUCCCUCUGGCAAGGCAGUGUGGGAUGCACCCAAGCAAAUACCUGGCAAGGCAGUGUGGGAUGCACCCAGGCAAAUUUCGGGGUAUCCGAUGCAGGGAGCGAGUUGUACAUCAUAGAGCAGUUCUACGACUACAAGAUGGUCGAUGACCGUUCUGUAGUUGAACAUGCUCAUGAGUUACAGGCUCUUGCAAAGGAUCUUGUGAAUGUCAUGUGUGAGCUGUCGGAUAAAUUUAUGGCUGGUGGUAUCAUUGCUAAAUUGCCUCCUUCUUGGAGGAACUUUGCUACUACUAUGAAACACAAGAGACAUGAGUUCACUGUAGCCGGUCCGAUCGGCACUCUUGAUGUUGAGGAAAGGCGAGAGCAAAGGAUUCACGUGCGCGUGGCAAAGGGAGGUUCUAGCGCUCAUAUGGUGUAGAAAGGAACUUCCAAUCCCACAAAAAAUAAGGGCAAAGCGAAAGCUAAGUUUCAACACAAGACUACUCAGACUACCAACUUUAACAAAAAGAAGAACAACAAGGGAAAGUGCUUAUGUGCGGUGUUUUUGACCAUUGGGCUAAGGACUGCAAGGACCGCAAGGACAAGCAGCAACACGGGCAGAAGAAGUCUGCUAAUGUUGUUAUUAGCGAUGCUGAGAAGGGAACAUCAGGGUAUGGUAAUCAUGCUUUUGUUCUUUCAGUUUAUCAUUUACCAAAUUGGUGGAUUGACACCGGAGCUAAUAUACAUGUAUGUGCCGAUAUUUCUUUGUUUUCCUCUUACCAGGUCACAGGGAUUAGAUCCGUGUUGAUGGGGAACGACUCAGGUGCUGCUGUUCGCAGUGUUGGUAUGGUCAAUCUAAAGUUUACUUCGGGAAAGACCGUGCGGCUAAAGAACGUGCAUCAUGUCUCCUCAAUAAAUAAAAAUUUUGUUAGCGGAUCCCUUCUUUGUAAGUAUGGUUUUAAGUUGUUGUUCGAAUCAAACAAGUGUGUUGUUUCUAAGUUUGGCUCCUUUGUUGGCAAAAGAUAUGAAUGUGAUGAUUUGUUUCGUUUAUCAUUAUCAGACUCUUGUAAUAAAGUUGUGAAUUAUGUGUAUAAUGAUGAUGAGUCAAAUGUUUGGUAUUCACGACUUUGUCAUGUUAAUUUCGAUUGUGUGUUGCGGCUAGCUAAUUUGAGUUUAAUUCCGAAAUUCACUUUGGUCAAAAAUUCUAAGUGUCAAGUGUGUGUGCAAUCUAAGCAACCCUGCAAGCCUCACAAGGCUACUGAGGCGAGGAACUUGUCACCAUUAGAAUUAGGGGGUGUUUGGUUCCACGAACUAAAGUUUAGUCCCUAUCACAUCGAAUGUUUAGAUACUAAUUAGGAGGACUAAAUAUGAGCUAAUUAUAAAACCAAUUGCACAGAUGGAGGCUAAUUCGCGAGACGAAUCUAUUAAACCUAAUUAAUGCAUGAUUAGCACAUAUUUACUGUAGCAUCACAUUGUUAAAUCAUGGGCUAAUUAGGCUUAAUAGAUUCAUCUCACGAAUUAGCCUCCAUCUGUGCAAUUAGUUUUAUAAUUAGUCUAUAUUUAAUACUCCUAAUUAGUAUCUAAACAUUCAAUGUGAUAGGGACUAAACUUUAGUCCGUGGAACCAAACACCCCCUUAAUUCAUUCGGACUUGAGCGAAAUGAACAGUGUGCUGACUAAAGGUGGAAAGAGAUAUUUCGUGACUUUGAUAGAUGAUUCUACUAGAUACUGCUAUGUGUAUUUGCUUAAAUCAAAAGAUGAGACAUUUAAUUUUUUCAAUAUCUAUAAGGCCGAAGUUGAAAAUCAACUUGAGAGGAAGAUAAAAUGUGUUAGACCGGAUCGAGGUGGAGAGUAUUUUUCAAAUGAGUUCAAUUUGUUCUGUGAGGAACAUGGCAUUAUUCAUGAAAGAACACCACCUUAUUCUCCUGAGUCAAAUGGAGUGGCUGAAAGGAAGAACCGUACUCUAACUGAGAUGGUUAACGCCAUGUUAGAAACAGUUGAACUUUCGUGGGAAUGGUGGGGUCAAGCCAUGUUGACUGCCUGUCAUACUCUUAACAGAGUUCCUUCGAAAAAGAAAGAGAAAACACCAUUCGAGGAAUGGGAAAAUAAAAGACUAACACUCUCAUACUUGCAUACUUGGAGUUGCUUGGCAAAACCAAUUGCUAAGAAGCGCAAGCUCGGGCCGAAAAUAGUUGAUUGUGUCUUUCUAGGCUAUGCUUUUUUAUAGUAUCGGAUAUAGAUUUUUGAUAAUUAAAUCUGGAGUACCGGACAUGCAUGUUGGUACAAUCAUGGAGUCCAGAGAUGUCACAUUCUUUGAGAAUAUUUUUCUGUUAAUUCCCGUGAAUGUAAUGAUACAGUAGUACACUUUGAAUAACCAGUUGAGGAGAAUCAUGAGAAGGAUGAUAAUGAAGGAACUCGAAAGAGUAAGAGACGAAGAACUACAAAGUCUUUUGAUGAUGAUUUCAUUAUGUACCUUGCAGAUGACACUUCAAGAACCAUUGCUGAGACUUAUGGAUCUCCUAAUACUGACUAUUGGAAGAAAGCAAUUAGAAGUGAGAUGGAUUCCAUAAUGUCUAAUGGGACUUGGGAGAUCGUUGAUCGUCCAUACGGGUGCAAACCUGUAGGGUGCAAGAGGGUGUUUAAGAAAAAGCUUAGGCUUGAUGGUACUAUUGAAAAGUACAAGGCGAGGCUUGUGGCCAAGGGUUACACCCAGAAAGAAGGCGAAGAUUACUUUGAUACUUACUCACCAGUUACCAGAUUGACCACGAUUCGAGUACUACUAUCCUUGGCUACCUCACAAGAUCUUCUCAUCCAUCAGAUGGAUGUUAAGAUAGCUUUCCUUAACGGAGAGUUGGAUGAGGAAAUUUAUAUGGAUCAACGUGAUGGUUAUGCAGUAGAAGGUCAUGAACGAAAAGUGUGCAAAUUGUCAAAAUCUUUAUAUGGACUGAAACAAGCUCCUAAGCAAUGGCAUGAGAAGUUUGACAAGACUCUCACGUCAGCCGAGUUUGUUGUGAACAAAGCCGACAAGUGCAUGUAAUACCGCUUUGGUGGGGGAGAAGGAGUGAUCUUGUGUUUGUAUGUUGAUGACAUAUUGAUCUUUGGUACUAAUAUCAAUGUGAUUGAGUAGGUUAAGAGAUUUUUGUCUCGAAGCUUUGAGAUGAAAGAUAUGGGAGUGGCUGAUGUAAUUUUGAAUAUUAAGCUACUAAGAGAAGGUAAUGUGGGGUUACACUUCUGCAAUCCUAUUAUGUGGAGAAGAUCUUGAGUCGCUUUGGUUAUAGUGACUGCAAGCAUGCUCCCACGCCUUACGAUUCCAGUGUGGUAUUGUGGAAAAACUGUAAAAUCGCAAGGGGUCAAUUGAGAUAUUCUCAAAUCAUUGGCUCGCUGGUGUAUCUAGCUAGCGUUACGAGGUCUGAUAUCUCAUUUGCUGUGAGUAAACUCAGCAAAUUUGUGUCAAAUCCUGGAGAUGAUCACUAGCAUGCUCUUGAGAGAGUACUGCGCUAUCUAAUAGGCACAACGAGUUGUGGAAUUCACUAUGCUGGGUAUCCUAGGGUACUGGAAGGUUAUAGUGACUCAAACUGGAUAUCAGAUACUGAUGAGAUAAAAUUUACGAGUUGAUAUGUGUUCACACUUGGAGGUGGCGCUGUUUCUUGAAAGUCUUGCAAGGAAACCAUCUUAACAAGGUCAACAAUGGAAGCGGAACUCACAACACUGGAUACCGCCAUAGUUGAGGCUGAAUGGCUUCGUGAUCUCUUGUUGGAUUUGCCGGUGGUUGAGAAACCGAUAUCGGCUAAUGAACUAUGACAAUCAAACAAUGAUUGCCAAGGUGAAAGUACUAAAGAUAAUAUGAAGUCAUCAAGACAUAUGAAGAGGCGGCCGAAGUAUGUUAGAAAGAUGAGAAACUCCGAAGUGAUAGCACUGGGCGAUGUCCAAAUAGCUAAAAAUCUGGCAGAUCAAUUCACGAAAAGUCUUUCACUAAAUGUGAUAGAUGAGGCAUCGAGGGAGAUGGGAAUGAGACCCACAUGAGAGUCCAUUGUUUAGUUGUGGACAAAUGUAGCUUAUGUCUAGGUGGAUGUUCAACCUUAUUCAGAUCUCCAUCAAAACACAGGUAUAUCCAACAAUAGUGGAACAAAUUCCCGAAUGAGCCUUGAAAUUUGGUGGGGAUUGUUAGAAUAAUUGGGUUGUUAGCUCAUUAUUUAAUUGAUAAAAUAAAUCCUAAGACCCAUUAGUAGUGGUAGUUACAAAUAAAAUAGUGGUGGUAGUUACAAAUAGAAUAAAAGAACAUGAUAGGGUCUCUAACCAACUUAUAAGGUGGAAUCAUGCUGCACCUGUUGAGAAGUUGAGGGAGGGAUAGCAGGAUACCAUCGUGUCAGUGGGGUGGUACUUGGGCACUGAUGGAUUCACACGAGUCAUGAACUAUAUAAAUAUAGGUUAAUUAUAAAACCAAUUGCAGGAAUGAACGCUAAUUCACGAGACAAAGUCUAAUUAAUUCAUGAUUAGCACAUAUUUGCGGUAGCAUCACGUGGUCAAAACAUGAACUAAUUAGGUUUAAUAGAUUCGUCUCACGAAUUAGCCUUCAUUUAUGCAAUUGGUUUUGUAAUUAACCUAUAUUAAAUAUAGUUCUAAUUAGUAUCUAAAUGUUUGAUGUGGUAGGGAUUAAGUAUCUAAAUAUUUGAUGUGGUAGGGACUAAAUUUAGGAAGCUUUUGACAUGGGCAUUUAGCUUUUGAAACAUGGGCAAACAUUAUAUAUUUACAUAUCCGACAAUUAAAAAAAAUUAUAUGCAACAACACAAGCGAAUAUGUUUACACCUUUUAAUGUGAACCAAAUUGGAUGAAUGCUGAAUGCGCUGACUAAAAUUCAAGCUGCAUCAGGAGAAAGUAAGCUGCAUCAGGAGAAAGAAAGCUACAUUAUAACCAGUUGAAUUAGCUCCGUUUCAUUAGCCGAUCAGAUCCUUUUGUUUUAAAUACUUAGCCGAUCAGAUCAAAUGACAUCUUUUCAAGUUGUUCACGGCCUCUUGCAACUAGCCUAUAUUCCCCCGCCGCCGACGCCGAAGCCCCAACCGACCAAAUCGAUGCCGUCGAUCGCCGGCGGCGGGUGCGGGCGCCUCUUCGCCGCGCACCGGGGCGCGAUCUGGUGGCUCCGGGGCCGCCAGCACCCGCCCUUCUCGUCCCUUGCCGGCGGGGGAAGCCGAGGCGACGCGCCGCAUCUGCCGGUGCUCAUUGUCGGAGCUGGGCCCGUCGGGCUCGUCCUCUCCUUCCUCCUCACCAAAUUCGGUAAGAGCCCCGUGCCCCUCGCGCGUGGCUGUUCCGAAUCGUGCUUCUAAAGUAGUAUAGGCGGUAGUGUUGAGCUGAGCGGAAAUUCAAUGAGGGAACCGGACGAAUGUGAUGUGAUGAAACAAGUCAUCUCUCAAGUGCGGAUCGUGGAAAUUCUUGUGAAGACCGGCAGCCUCUGAUACAGUCACUCGUUUAUCCCAAUCUUGCAGGGAUCAAAUGCGCGGUGAUAGAAAAGAAUGUGGAGUUCACUCGGCAUCCUCGAGCGCACUUCAUCAACAACCGCACAAUGGAGGUGUGUAUUUUUACUAUUGCACUCCUACUUCGCUAUGUCAGCUUUAUGUGUGUUGUUUGGGCGGUAAAUUUCACUGGUGGUUGGCAUUUUCAGAUCUUCCGCAAGUUGGAUGGCUUGGCUGGGGACAUCGAGAGGUCCCAGCCACCAGUGGAUCUGUGGAGGAAAUUCGUAUAUUGCACUUCACUCUCUGGUUCUGUUCUUGGAUCGGUUGAUCACAUGAAGCAGGAAGGCCAGUUCAGUUCUUCUCAUGUUGAGCGUUUGUUGUCUUGCACCUCUGUUCAUAUGUCUUGUGACGAGUAUUUUUUGCAGUUUUUGACAAGGUCAUUAGUCCUAUAUCGGUUGCACACUUCUCGCAAUACAAGUUAGUCGAUUUGCUACUCAAGAAGUUGGAAGGUAUUGGUUUCCAGACAUGCUUUCCCAGUGAGAUUGGUGACUCAGCGCAGGAUUUGGGGUUGGAAAGCAAGAUAUUGAUGGGGCAUGAGUGCACAUCCUUUCAGCAGACAGAUGAGGGCAUUUUGGUUGGAGUAUCAGUUAACAAUGGUGGGAGGAUACGGGAGAAGAAGCUACAUUGUGGUCUUCUUAUAGGGACAGAUGGUGCAAGAAGCACGGUGCGUGAAUUGGCAGGUAUAUCUAUGGAGGGUGAGAGGGACUUGCAGAAACUGGUCAGUGUGCAUUUUCUUAGCAGAGAUCUAGGCAGAUAUUUAUCCAGUCAGAGGCCUGGGAUGUUGUUCUUCAUUUUUAACCCAGGCGCAAUUGGUGUACUUGUUGCACAUGACCUGGAGAAUGGGGAAUUUGUAUUGCAGGUAUGUUAACCUUCACUAUUUUAGAAGCAAGGCUUCAGCAAAUGUUACAUUUGAAAUUGUAUAUUUCUCAUGUGUGGAAUAUCACCUUCUAUUCUAUUUUCAGAUUCCAUUUUAUCCUCCUCAGCAGAUGUUUGAAGAUUUCAGUGCCAAGGUGAUCUAGUUCUAGUAUUUUUCUUUAUUCUAGUUCAUUAUCUAACAAGAUGCCGUUUGCUGCAUCUAAAUGUGUUUCUAUUUAUUUCUGAAAUACUUGUGCUGUAGUGUUCUUGAAACAACUUAUUUCUAAACUGGAAUAUGUUAUGCAUAGGUGAAUUGUUGACUAAUUUGACGCAUAUAUGUAAAUGCACCCCUGCUUACUUUUUAAGUUUUCCUUGUGAUUUAGGUAUGUGAGCAAAUCAUUGUCAAAUUAGUUGGAUGGGAGCCUGCUGAUGUUCAGGUUUUAGACAUAAAACCAUGGGCUAUGCAUGCUGAAGUUGCAGAGAAGUACAUUGGCUGCAACAAUCGUGUAAUCCUUGUUGGUGAUGCUGCUCACCGUUUCCCUCCUGCUGGUGGUUUUGGUUAGUGGUUUACUUCAUUUUUGAUACUGAAAUAUUACCAUUUCCAUUUGCUUUAGUGUGCAUCAGAAGUCCAACGGUCAGAAUUGUGCAUUUGCUGAUUUGUUUUUGCAGGAAUGAACACCGGUGUUCAGGAUGCGCAUAAUCUGGCUUGGAAAUUGUGCUUACUCUUGAAUGGUGUUGCUUCACCAUCAAUAAUGCAAACUUAUGAAUCAGAGCGCCGACCUGUUAGACACUUCUCACAGCUUGUCAGUUAACAUCUCCUUGACAAAGUUAAUUAAGUUUGAUUCACAUGCUUGCUUUUUGCAGGUUGCUAUUUUUAAUACAGGGCUUAGUGUGGAGAAUUUUAAGGCGGCAAUGUCUAUUCCUGCUGCCCUUGGUCUUGAUCCAACUGUUGCAAACUCAGGUGCAACAUCCUGCUCCAGCAUGAUGGCAGCAAACAUUCAGUUAUUUUCUUGUUAAAGUAAAUACUGACACUGUUGCAGUUGCGCUUAAGUUAUCGUGCAAUGUUAAGUACAUCAAAACUUUUGCCUUGUCAUGAUCUGACCUUGUGUAUCCUUUACAUUUAUUUGGCAGUGCAUCAGGUUAUCAACAGAAGCUUAGGAUCUGUCAUUCCCAGAAAUUUACAAAAGGCAGUUCUGGAAGGAUUGUUUUCCAUUGGUCGGGCACAGGUCUCAGACUACAUUUUGAAUGAGAGAAACCCCCUUGGGUCUUCGAGACUAGCAAGACUGAGAAGUAUUCUUGAUGAAGGAAAAAGUCUACAGCUGCAGUUUCCAGCAGAGGAUCUCGGCUUCUGGUAAGACUCACUAGUGUGAAUCAUUUUCCAAAAGGGGGUGUGUUUUUUUCUUUCUUCCUUUUCAUUCAGCUGAUGAAUGAGCAAGUGUGCAAAGUUUCGUAUGUUGAUCUAUUGUGUGCUUUCAGCUAUGAAGGAGGAGCCCUAGUCACUGAAUAUUGUGCUGAAAACACUCAGAAAGCAGAGAAAGUGAAGCAUUUCAAGAGGUCAUCAGAGUACGUACCAUCUGCUAAGGUUGGUUCACGGCUACCACAUAUGCUAGUAAGAGCACGUUCAGCUUCAAGUGAGGUAUAUCCCUUGGACGCCUAAUUGAUACGGCAUCUUUUUAGCUAUGUCUCUAAUGUUUCAUACAUUGAGAUUGUGAUGGAUUCUUGCAGGAUGUGUUCUCAACACUGGACCUGGUAAGCGGGGAUAACCUCGAGUUUGUUCUCAUUAUCGCACCAAUGAAAGAGUCAUACGAGAUCGCCCGUGCCACCCUCAAGAUAGCAGAUGAGUUUAAGUUAAAAGCCAAAGUAUGUGUCAUGUGGCCACAAGGUUCAGCGGAUGUGGAAAUGGAAGAGAGCAGAUCUGAGUUGGCACCCUGGACGAACUGUGUUGAUGUUGAGGAAGUACCACGGGCACCUGUUAAUUCAUGGUGGGAGAUGUGUCAGAUCAGUAGGAAAAGUGUCAUUCUUGUUAGGCCUGAUGAGCACAUAACAUGGAGAAUGGAAUCAGACAUGGUGAGGGAUGCCGAUUCAGAAGUUAGGAGAGUCUUCUCUCAUAUUCUGUGCCUAAAUAGCCACCUGGUAUAGGAAUUUGCAAAUUUCCUUUCACUUGGUUAUGCAUAGCAAAGAGUUCGUGUUAUUGUGAUAAUACGAACCAGAAUUUCCACUCAAGUGAUAUUUUACCUGCACUUGGAGUUGGAUGAACGAUUGACUGCGACAACAUUUCUUCAUAUUACAUGAUACUGUGGUAUUUUGGCUGUUCUGGUUCUUUCUGGUGCAGUGCCAUUGUCCGAUCUUUGUUUUGAGUUCUCCAUUUGUCGUUCAUAAAAAGUCAUCGCAGCGCCUCAUCCACAGAUCCACUAUGAGCUUUUUUUUUUUUGCCAGCACCGCGAUGUCCAUGGGGCUGUAGACGAGCGACUCAUCUUUGAAACCCAUGGAUUAUCCAUGUACAAUAUUUUUUUAACAUCUGUCAACAUAUGUUGACAUUUAUUUUCAUUUUUUUAAAAUCUGAUUUAUACCAACAUUUUUUUAUACAUACAAACAUUUUUCUUUAACUAGUUUACAUUCACCAAUAUUAUUGCUCAAUAAUUUUUUACAUGCCCUAACUUUUUUUUUGCACUCACCAUCAUUUUUUUUACGUUCACCAAUUUUUUCCUAAAAAAUAUUGAGAUAGUUUCUCUAAAAUGUUGAGACAGUGUGUUUUGCACCGUCGUGGAUCAGUUUUAGACUUCUGGUAAGUUAUCUCUACUGUAAAGAGUGAGAGAAUUGAUGUCAAUUUCCACACAGAAUUAUACCUACGUACCCCUGGGGAGAUUAGUAUCGUCUUAAUCCCCGUUCUAAAUCCCAUCCACACCUUUUUUUUUUUACGCCACACCCUUCCCGUUACCUGCCCACCGUACCCGCACCACUAAUGAUGCACGCAUCCACGCCCAUCCUUCCUUUUUUUCCUCAAUCCCACCUUCUCCACGCCGAUCCUCAAGGCAUGUACAACAGUUUGACAGUUGUUGUCUCUAAGUAUUUCCAUAUCACAUAAAGACAAUGACAUAGACAACUUAUGCAAUGAUUCGUCUUUUAGGCUGUCUAUAAACCAUUUAUUUCAUAUACAUACACAUUUAUCGUGGUGAUCAAAAAUAAAUUUGAUUUUGUAUACCACUUUGUUGCCCAUAUGUGUGAUCAUAUUUGGGUACACUCAUUUAUCACUUAUUAGUACAAUACAAAGUCCCACUGAACAAAUUUGGGAAAAAGACAAUAAUACUGCAAAGCUGAUACAUGCUAAUCUUGACAACAUGCUGAUACAUGAUUGUGUUCUGAAUACACAAGAGCUACAGUAAGAGAACAAGAUCCAUGUAAGAAUUUGAAGCUUAGGAGCCUUACUAGUAAGAAUAAAACAGCAGUUGGCCCUAAUGCUCAACAGUUGUGCUCGCAAAAAUAAGCGUCUUGAAUUGAUGAACUGAUUACAGGAACAUGCUAGGAGACAACUUGAACCGACAGACUGAACAAAAGACCAUGAUUUCAACUUGCUUAAUCUUUCAUCAUAUUCUGAAUCAUAAAAAUCACUCUUAAAAUUAGAAACACAAUUCUACGUUUCAGAUUUACAAACACCAGAUGUAAAAGGAAUCACGAAUCAGAAAAGAGAAGAUCUGCACAUCUUCACUCGGUAUUAUUUGCAUCAGUGAUGUUGAAGUAAACAUAUAAGCAAAGCAGCACUGGCGUUCAGAGAAGCAAGCACGGAAGCCAUGUACUUUGUUAGAUGGACUGGAGUAGCGGACCUGAAUGCCGAUGGGUCAGCGGACGGUAGCAAGGCUUGGAGCCAGAUCCAGGCUUCGAGCAACUCGCCGCCCUGCUCUCCCUUUCGCUGCGCCGGUCGGUGGACGAAGCAACGGAGACGGAAGCAGCUGCUGCCGUCGAGCCUUUCCGCUUCUCGGUCGUCAUCGCGCCUUUCCGCUCCCCCGCUGCCGCCGCCGCGCCCCCGUCCGCUCCAGGGAUGCCGUCGCAUCUGGUAAGCCUUGCGCAACUGCUGCAUCCGGCAUCUAGGAAGGGAGGAGCAUCGAUUUUGCCACGGAUUUUGGCGCGCGGGGAAUGGAUUUUAUCGCCAUCGUAGCUGAUUUUUGGCUCACCGCAGCCGAUCCACGAGGAGACGACGACGGCAUACAACGGCGAUGGGGCCGGCGGUUUGGCUUGGGAGCACGAGCCCAUGCGUCUCUCUCCUCAUUAAUCGCUGUACACGUGGGACAGAUUUGCCUCCGUGGCAGCAUAUAGACAGCUGCUGUCUCUCUGUUGUACAUAGCCUCACGCCCCUUCCCAUCCCCUCCCCCAUCGCAUCUCCCCGCCGGAGCGGCCCCGCUGCGUCCUCCCCCUCCACUUCGAUACCCUCCUCUCCAUCUGCAGGGACAGGCGUACAGAGGGGUAAGCCGGAUGCCUGUGAAGGAGGCGGGCUCGGCGAGGGGCGCCCCGGGGACCGCGGCUUCGGCGAUCGCUGCGGGGGUCGUAAGUCGUUAUGAUUCCAGCAAGGGGCGUAUAAUUUAUAGACUUCCCAUAAGGAUUCGAAGCGUACCGAAGACUCGAAGGAUACUGAAAGCGGAGGGCGGUCAUAUAUAUACAUAUUCCGAAAUCUAGGGUUAGCAAUUCCCGCAGUCUUCUCGUCGCCGCGCAGUUGGUCCUAUUCCGAUCUAGAUCUAACCAGGAGAAGAGAGGAGAGAAGACGAGUAUGGAGGUAAACGGAGACGAGGGGAUAGAGCAGAGGAAGGAGGAUCAGUUGUGGGUUCCCCCCGCCGCCGCGAACCAGACGACCCCGACAUCCACCGUCCCCGGGAAAGAGGUCAUGUCUAUUGAUGACGAGGCCAUAUCCGGCGUCAAUCCCCGGAGUGCCGCUGCUGCGCAGAAUAUGUAAGUCUACUUAGAGCAUGUAUACAGUGGGAGUAGCUUAGUUUUAAUAUUAAUUUGUUUGAUUUCAGUCGUUUGCUAUACGAUUCAUUGAUAUCUGGAUGUAGCUGUUGGUCUUUAGUGACAUGUGUAGAUGAAUUAUUAUCAAUCCAAUAAGAUUUUGCUAGAGCAUGUGUACAGUAGGAGUAGCUUAGUUUUAAUAUUAAUUUGUUCGAUUUCAGUCGUUUGUUAUACAAUUAAUUAAUUCGUUGAUAUCUGGCUGUAGCUGUGGGUCAUUUAGUAACCUGUAUGUAUUCAAUAAGAUUUUGCUACACAUUUCCAAUGCAAUCUGUGCGUUUUUUAGUUUAAAGAGUUGAGGUUGUUCUUAUUGCUCUAAUGAACACUAAUUUUAGUUGAAAUUGAUUUUGUUGCCUUCUUGCUAGUAUUACAAGAACUUUUGACUAUAUUAGUUAUGGCAAUUUCAUUUUCACCUUCAUCUUUGCCAUGCGGUUUGUCAGCAAUGUAUUCUUUUUUUUAAGAAUAAUUAGCUUGUUUCAAGUUAACAAUUUAAAAUAACUUCUUGGUCAUAACUCAAUGGACUUGGGGCUGACAUACUUGUGCGUUUCCAGUGUGGCUGCUUGUCAACUGUUUGUUGCCAAACAGAAUUGGGAUGGGCUGGAGACUUAUCUUGCUGAGUUCUUGAACAAGGUUCAGGGCGACAAGUUCUAUCCCCACCCAGGGCUUUUUUGCUCCCUUUACCAAGCACAUAUCUCAUAUCUCAUUGGGAAAAAUCACUUUGUGGAGGCUCAAGCUGUUUUCGAUGGCAAGGUGAAGCCUCUUCUUGAUCAAGAAAAAGAUGACAUGUACAAGCCAUUUGACUUAGAAGCCCGUGUGCAAAUGUUGCGGAACUGCGUGUACAAUUGGUAUGUUGUAUUUCUUUAUUAUAAUAAUGUUUGUUCCUAUCGCAUGUUAGUCAUAUUUCAUAUGAGGCGAACAGGCCUCUAGCUGAGUUGGUUAGAUGGUCUCAGUAGCACUCAGGUCCUGGUUUCGACUCCCCGUGGGAGCGAAUUUCAGGCUAGGGUUAAAAAAGUCCCCUUGUCUGUCAGCAUAACCAAAGCACAAAUUAAGGCCUGGCCCAAGUCGUAGCUGUGAUUGGUUUGGACCCUCCUACCUGGAGUAGUUGCAGUGGUCACCAGCCCAGCGGUAGUCUCACAAGGGUUAUGGCCCCUGUGUAAGGGUGGGGCAAAGGUUCGGGAGUUUUCUCGGCCUGUGUGAGAAGGUCUUCUCUCUUAGGAAAAAGCCCGGGGGCUGUCUUACCCCCCGCAGGUCGAGUUUUUUUUUAAUAUAUGAGGUCGAAACACUAACGAAAGUUCAUAGUACUCGUUUCAUUUAGGCCAAUACAUUAUUAAAGUUCAAUUGUUUAUACUUGCGAAAUCAUUGUUUUUUAAAAAUAUUCUUCUGAAGCUAUUACUACAAAGUUUUGUAUUCCUUUAUACUCAUGGAGAUUUGUUGGAGUGUGGCUAGUAAUUUUUUUGGAUACAUGUUUUCAAGUUAUGUGUUUUAUUUCUUAUGCAGUUUGCCUUUGGCUGCUGCUGAUGAUGAAGAUAUGAAUGUAGUUCUUGCUGAUUAUCUGAUGCUGUAUUUCCCGACUAGGUAAGUAUUUUCAAUCACCUGAUAAAUUUUGUUGCCAAUUACAAAAUAUAGUUGCAUGUGUUUCACGAAAUAAAUCAUUGCUGUUAUAUCUUAAUCUAUCUAGAUUAGUUCUUUUUCUCUAAUUAUAAAUUUAAGAAGUAUUUACAAGUCACUUUCACUCAUGCAAUUGUUUACAUUUAGAAUGAUAUUAUCUAUCUCUUAACAGAUUUAUAUAAAGUAAUUACUAAGUAGUUUUCAAUCCUACACUUGUUUAUAUUUUGAAUGAUAUUAUCUGGCAUGAAUUAUGUGGCUACAUUUGAUAAAGUCAUUGCUUUAUACAGCUUGCAGAAUGAUGCAAAGAGAACAAAUUCAAUUUCAGAUUUUUUAGUGACUUUCAAUGAUAAAAAAGGAAAACGCCAUCGUUGUUUGGCAUGUCAGUGGGUGAUGUCAGCUUCAGCCAGGUCAAUAGAAUAUCACAUCAAGCACUCAAAGCAAAUUAACUGCUGUCGCAGAGUAACAAAAUGGAUGCUUGAAUAUCUCGCAGAUGUCAUGAAUGAAAAAGAAAUUAGUAUACAGGAUAUGACUGCUGCUUCAUCGGGGAUUCAGUUAAGAAAGAGGAAGGCUCCAUUCUCACCUCGAUCUACUGUGUUAGAUCUUGAUCAACAAUUUCCUAUUCCUGGGAAACAUGCUUUUGAAAUAUGGAAGGAUCUUAAUGCAUCUAACAUGUUAGCUUUGUAUGCUCUUAUGAAAGGCAAGUCCAAGUCAACCGCAGCAGCAAAAGCAAAAGAAAUAUUGUUUUGCCAAGAAAAGCUUAUCAAUGAGCUGAAGAGAUUGUUUUUGAGUCCUACGGAUAAACAUGUUCCACUGGGUUCUCUGGCAUUCAUGAAGAUCAAGGCUCUCCUCAAUCUGUCAGAUGAUCUCUUGCCAUUGCUCAAGAACCUGCCAGAUGCUUCUGAACUAUUGUUAGAUCAAGAUAAGAAAGUUACUGAACUGAGGCGUUGCUUUAUGGUUGCUGCUGCUGAGCGCCUCCCUCCAACAACACCUGUUGAUGUUACGUCUCCCAGCACUGAUAGUUCCGAGAGUGUCUCCAGCAAACUAUGUCUCCUAUAAGUUGUUUUAGUAGAUGCCCAAAAAACUACUGUAGAAUAACUUAUGAGAAAGGUUCAGGUGCUCCUGCGCGCAGGUUGGGGUGCUACCAUGCUACCAACCCACCUUUAGAUGUGCAUCAAAAAUUCAUCUACAAAUUUGAAUGGAUUUUCUUAUAAUCUUCUACCAUCAUGCAAAAAUCGAGGAUGAACAAAAUUUGUGCAAGAAAAACAACAAAAAAGAUAAUUCAGUGAAUGAUUAGUUGCGGAUCUAAUUGAACCUGCACCUGUUACUGUUGAUGCCGUGAUUUGUCUUUUUUUUUGUUUCCUUUUGCACAAGUUUUUGUUCAUCCUCAAUUUUGCAUACCAUUCAAAUUUUUAGAUGACUUUUUUAUGCACAUCUAGAGGUGCAACCGCCGGUGGGUCGGUAGCACAGCUCGCGGGAGCACCUGAACUUGUAUAUUUCAUUUUCUGUUGGACCACGUUGCUUAACGGGUUUGUUAGAGCCGGCACAUGCACCUCCGAACCCAUUAGCGCAUGCAUGGGAGCUGUAUCGCUGGAGCCAGGCAUGCAUUUGAUGCUGAUUGGUUGCCUUGGUUGCUGGCUCUCUCGCGUGAGUUGGUGUUGAAUUCAGUGCUCCCGUGCAGGCAAUUUGCAGCGCUCGAGCCAGGCUCAGCGGAAACGGAACUCAUUUUCGUUUCUCCGGAGCCAGGACAGGCUACGACCCCCUCGUUGCACCUGCUCAGCCUGGCCGAACCCUCCAGAUGAGCAACCAAUCAUCUGGAUGGUCCCUCAACCCUAGAGGUCGGGGCUCCUGAUGUGGUCGAACGAGGUGGGCCAUCGUAAUUCAACUUCCCGUCCCGUCCUUGUUCCUAUGGCACGUCAAGGGUCAGCGCCUCGCACUGUGCGACGAGGCAGUUCCCGUGCGCGCGUGGCGGGCGCUGCGCUAGUCAUGGCAUGCCACGCCUGUGACUGCCGUGCACAGGGGCCUGACUAGCGGCACCGUGGAGUGAUCACACCAGCCGCCCGCCCCCCCCCCCCCCCGGGAGCCUUUGGCCUGCUGCGAUCUGUGGGCCUCAUCACCGCGUCGUGCUCUGCAGGCACAAGCCGGUGUCAAGGCGGCGAGCUCCUACGACCCUGCCCAUGCUUGGGACGUGACGGCAGGCACGGAGCAGAGUACUAGGCGUGCCAUACGGGCCAUGAUGGCUCUGCUGACCGAGGCCUCGUGGGGGCGGUCCCUUGGGUGAAGCCACACUGGACGGCCCGCGGGUCUUUGGCCGUCGCCGGAGGAGAGGCCUACGCGCCGCAUCGGCGGGACGUGCAUUUAGGGUGUGUUUGGUUUGAAGUUGAAUUAGAUUGGAACGGGCUUGAUCCUAUCAGUCUGUGUUCGGUUGGAAAUGCAGUGGGUUGGGUUCAUCAUUUAUAGGAAAUAUACCUCAUAGAUACAGGUUGGAAUUGUCCACCCAAAAUGAGCGGACCAUCCCGACCCACAUCAACGCCAUCCGUCUCUGUUCUCCCGUGGGGCGGCAGCAGCAGGCGGGGCGGUGUCGGGGAGAAAGGAGGAGGGGCGGGCCGGCACUGGGGAGGAGGGGCGGCCGGCACCGGGCGGCGCCAGCGAUAAGGGAGCGGUAGGCGGUGUCAGGGAGAAGGGAGGGGCGGGCCAGCGUCGGGGAGAAGGGAGCGGCGGGCCGACGUCGGGAGCUCCGCUGAUCUAAUGGAUGAUAGGUGGGUUUGCCAACAGAUGUAACUAAGGGUGUUAAAAUAAUAUCUAUACCAACCUUCUCAACUCCUCCAAUUAAAAAAAACUUGAUAUAAUUUAUCCUUCUCCUUCGAAUACGAGAUGAUUCAAAACUAGAAAAGUGGAUCGGCUCAGGUCGUUCCAAAACCACAAACACAUGCUUGAUGCCUAGCCCGCGCCAGUCCUCGCGGCGCUUGCGGUUGCAGAGAAGAGUUUCUGAUUUCUGAAUCCUGCAUUGCUGCUGAAUCGGUGGGCGUGGGCCAGCAGGCCGUAAUUGGGCCGAGGAGCCUAUCCAGGCCCGAAGAUACCACUGUCCCCUUGCCUAGGGCAAAUGAACCGCCAAUGACUUGGUUCUCUGCCCGCGCCCGCCUCCCGCCGCGUAACCCGACGAUCUGACAUGGCCUAGGUCGCCGACGACUCGACAUCUCUGUGCGGCGGGUGUGGACCCGUGGACGCGCCGAGCUACCGGCGACGACCACGGGCUGUCUAUACCGGCGACGCCCGUGACGCGGCGAGGACGUCGACCUCCUCUACGCAGCAGAGCUCUCCUCCGCCCUUGUGUCGCCUCACGCCGUUCGUCGAACUCGUGGUAAAGUAAGUUGCAACCGGCUCAGGCUCAAUUGUUGUCUGGGAACUCUUGUAUGUAUUCAACAGACAUAUCACCCCACUACGCAAUGUCCCAUCGUAUGACCUCCUUCCUACCACCCAAAUCUCCUCUGCAGGUCUUGAAACAGAAAGAUGAGGUACACGGCACGGGAGAUGGAGUUCAUGGGCGGAUCUACAGAAGUUUUGGUCUGCAACGACAGGGCGGCUUCUGCCCUAACUUCUCUUUCGAAUUGGUUGGUUUUGAACAAUGAAGCCAAUUUUGAUUCCCGUGAACCCAAGUUUACAGUGGCCCGAUUCAUGGAAAGGCUUAUUUCGGGAAAAAUUUUGAACUGGCAUAAGAACAAUGUACUGCCAACGCCUGAGAAUCAGCGAAUCAUUGGAGAGUACUUUGAUAUCACUAAGAGACUUUGCACGGGCAUUAAGGUUAACCCUGUGGCUGGGUAGGUUAUCCUUGUGGGUUAACUGUUUUUUAUUGUUUCAGUAUUUCAUGACUUUGCUUUGUCCUAAUUUCCAUUUUUUGGCCUGUAAACACUACAGCACUGCCAAAUUUGAGGAUUCAAGAGAAUAUGAUUUAUUUCGCAUUUUGGGAGCUCCACUACUCCAUGCACCUGCAUUCAAUGAGCAGGUAUUGACUCCAAUCAUUUAGUUGUAACAUAAAUGAUUAUGCAUGAUAACAUUUCUUUAGUAUAUCACACGUUGAAACCAUUGUUGCUCAAAGUAAAUUUGUUUAUUCCUGGAUAUAUGAUUGACACCAUUAGUAAGAUUCCCAGGUGCAUAGUCCGAUCCCACCCUGAUUAACCGGACUACACAACAUAAAGUGUGAUAAAUUAUGAACUUUAUCAACCCCAUGGUUAAACCAUUCAUAUUGGACUCACCAUUGUCAGUAACAUGGGAAAAAAAGAAAAGGGAGUUCUUAACUUUAUGCAGAUGUCUUAUUUUCCAAAUUUUAUAAGAUCAGCUUUCUCAUUUUUCCAAUCUUAUAAAAUGAGCUUGCCUAUGAACUUCUAGGUUUUUCCCUCUUCACAAGAGCAACUUGAGCCUGGACAAAUUGGUAUUUUGUAUUUGAACGGGGAAUUCAAUACCAUUUGUAAGGUAUGAACCUUUACUUUAAGUGGAGUCUCUCAUUUUUUAAUAAGCUUUCUGGUUUUAUAUCUUCUGUAUGUUUUAUGCAGCACAAUGGUACUGUAUACAUGUUAGUAGAAGAUGAAGCCCUUCACAAGAAGAACCCUUCUGCUUCUUGGAAAACUAUGGUAUGUAACUAUGUCAUUGCAGGCCCCUUCUGUGCAUCUGUGUUUUGAAAAUGGCAAUUGUGCUGAUUAUUGUCUUGUUCCAUGUUGAUAAUAUUAGGUCGAUGAAAAAGAAAUAUUUGUAGCUGGUGACUUUUCAUACACCAGGGUAAGCAAUCAGCAGAAUGCUUUGUUUUUUUCCAACUGGUACAGUGUUAACUAAUCUAAGGUUGAUGUUGUGCGUACUGUAUUUUGUUGCAACAGGCACACAUCAAUCAGAAAGUGUACAAGUGUUCGAAAUGUUUGGAGGAAUUCUGCACAGAAAUUAAUUAUGAAAGACAUCUUGAAGCUCAUGUGCCAACUUCCAAAGCUGCUCUGGUUUUUGCCUUAACACCCCCCCCCCUCCCCCUGCCCUCCUCCCAACAAAACACAUGAGCUCUUUAUAUUGUUUCAUUGAAUCUUUUUCAAUAUUCUGUAGAAUCGUUCAUGGAACAAGGAUGCGUUUGCGAAAUACUGGGAUCAGGUAAGCUAUUUACACUGGGUUGCUUAUUGUAUAGUGUAUAUUGCUUUACAUAUUUUCAUAGUUUUUUUUCAUGGUUUAGAUUUCGGAUGAAGAUGCUUACAGCAUCCUGUCCGAUGGUGAUCAAACUGUAGAGGUAUUUGUGAGCAUUGACAUUUCUUUGUACAAUCUAUCGAGCUUCUAUAAUUUUGUGGUUGGCUUGACAUGGAAAAAAAAAUGUUUCCAAAAAUCACAUGGAUCGCCUGUCAACUCAAUUUUCAAGAAAUGGACACUAGGACCAGAAUUUCUUGUAACACCACCUGAGGUGAGGGAUGCUCUGAAACAACUGAAGGUAAAGAUUGUUGACUCAAACUGUUCAUAUUCAUCAACAUCAACAUGUAUACUUUGUAUCCACCCACCCCUGUUUCUCUAUAGCAUUUGAUGGAAAGGAAAAGGGAGAAGCCAUCGUCUGAUGUGCUUCUAGGAAUCUUAAAAGUCGGAAGUGAGGGCACUUUCUUCUCCACCAAUUUGCUCGAAGGAGGGUUUUCCUUUGUGGAGGCAGGCAAAAGUCAGAAUACAACGAGAACCAUGCUAACAUAUUUUAGCUUGAGAGUUGAAGAAGUGUUGGUAAUGGAACUUACUUAAUUGUUAUGAAGUUUCUUUUCAAUUGUUCCUGACUACAAAUAUGACAUCAGGCUAAAAAGUGGUAUACUGAAAAGACGGUGCAAGCAAAUGUAGUGAUGGAAGAACUUUUGGCGGAAUGUACUGAUCCAAGGUUUGCUGCUGAGUUCAUCCAAAAGUCACAUUUUGAAAUACUUUUUUACUAAGAGCUAUGUUCUGUGAUUUGCAACCAGUAAAUAAAUUUGUACUAAAAGCUAUGUUCAGCAUAUUUGCUAGAUAUAUAGAUAGCCCAAGAUUAAUAUUUUUUUUACAUGCAGUGAAGAAUAUUUCCCAAACUUCGUAUCAAGAAAAAGAUUGGUUAGGUUGUUCACACUUUUCAAUAAGGAUAUAGUCACAGCUUUGACACGAACUGGGAGGAAAAUUGCUAAACGUUUGCUAAACUACAUCUUGAAAGCUCAUAAGGCUGGCCACUGCUGGGAUGGGGAAUGGAAUAUACUUGACAUUUGGGUUCGUGGGGAUGGUGCAACAUUAAUCAUUGACAAGAUGCCAGUAAAUGCAACUAAAGAUGGAAUUGUUGCUGACCUUCAGAAGUUCAUAGUCCUCUUGCGCCCGUAUUACAAGAUUGAAGGCAUCAAGGGUCCAACCUAUUUUGACGAAUUUCAUUCUGAUGUGAUGUCUCUCCCUGAGCUUGAGUCUGAAAAAUUUGAGAUUGUCCAGAAGUUUCUUGCUGACCAUAUGGUUUUUCUGCCACCAGCGUCCACGUCAAAUUUGCUCGAAAG
RNAcentral lists this long non-coding RNA (59804 nucleotides) under Setaria viridis. RNAcentral describes it as "long non-coding RNA (SVIR_LNC006183)". The stretch from base 34311 to 34384 matches the Rfam family "tRNA". The record is from RNAcentral. Lineage: Eukaryota; Viridiplantae; Streptophyta; Magnoliopsida; Poales; Poaceae.